GUUGCUGUGCGGUGGCCUUCCGUUCUGUAGGACUUGUAGGUGUAUGCCAGGGCCUAAUGAUUAUGUUAUGCUGGCUUGGAAGAAAGAACAUGUGUUUGUAUUGGGUAUCUUGUGCUUUCCUUUUGCUUGAUUAUCCAAGGAUUGAUGUAGCUAGCUGUUGAGAUGAUUGAUUCCGUGGCUGCUCAUGGUGUGGCUUGAAAUCACCACUUGUACGCCUAAAAGAUAUUUUUUCCUUUCCUUUUUGAAAGAACCAAAAAGCUCACAAGAAUCCUUGAUAUUGGUGAUCAGAGCCUGUAAACCCUUUCAAUCACCAUGUGGUUAGAGCCCCAUUUUUUUUCGUAUUAUAUCCUUUGCCAAAAGCAAAUGAACCCUUUUUAUUAUUCUAGAACCCUGAAAAUAGAGGUUUGAACUAAAAGUAUUUAUUUUCCAAGAAAAUAUCAAUUCAUUAAAAGUCAUUUAUGAGGUGUAUUACAUACACUAUCCAUUCAAAAAAUAUUUUUAAAAGAUAUAUACGUAUUUAUUAUAAAUUAUUCUCUAAAAGGGAAUAAAUUGUAUUUAUAUGGUUAAAAUAUUUAUUUUCUCUAAAAAAAUCCUCAAAAAUCACCCAAGUGUUUUUUGAGAUUCCAAACCACUUGGAGUGGAGAAACUUUGAUACUCCCUCUGUUCACUUAUAUAAGAUGUUUUAGUAAAUUCAGACAGUAUACUAAACAGUUCAAACUCAGUUGUCUGAAACGCCUUAUAAAAACGAACGGAGGGAGUAGUAAUGUUCAAAAUAUUUGAGCAUUCUCAAUCAAACACCUUCCUUAUUUCCAUGUCUUAAGUUCGCUCAAUCUGAGAUAUUCAUAAAUAUCCCAAAUAAUUCCUGGAAUUUUUUUUGAGGGUAAAUAAUUUCUGAAUAUGCUCCGUAUUCCUGUGUCACGCUAUGCCUCGACUUGCGACCCAUCAGAGAGCAGCGGGGGACCAGGCCUGCUACCGUCCAGUAUAGCUGGCCAAACGGGCCGGGCCAAACAGGCCAGCCCGCGAGCACGCCGGCACGGCCCGCUAUGGGCCAGGCAUAGCACGGGCUAAACGGGCCGUGCCCUGCACGCGGCAUGCCUUGGGCCGUGCCUGGGCCUGGAGUCUGGGCACGCGGGCCAGCACGGCACGGCCUGUUUAUUUUUUUAUAUAUAAUUGUCAGAUUUUUUAUAUAUGUAUACCUAAAAUAUAGCCCAAUAGGCCUAAAAAACAGCCCAAGCUAAAUAUAUGUAGCCCAACGUGCUAAACGGGCCAUAGGGCCGGCCCGUUUACUAAUCAGGCGGUGCCUGGGCCAAGGAGCGGCGCCCGUGGGCCGGCACGGCACGACCCGGCUAUUAAACGUGCCAUGGCGGGCCGUGCCGGGCCAGGCACGAUUAGCACAGGCCGGGCCGGGCCGUGCCGGGCCGGCCCGUUUGGCCAGGUAUGCCGCCCAGGCAGUCAAUCAAAGCGAGGUUUUUUUUUGAGCAUCAGUACAGACACAAGCGCUCAUAUACACGCGCAUACACUCACCCCUAUAAACGCACACACGCACACCUUACCCCUAUGAGCACCUUCGAGAGACUGAGCCGGCAUAUCAUCUUGAGAUUUACGAAGUCACCGUAGGCGCCUCGUCAUCGACGGGAACGUCUCCUCCCACUGAAAACGCAUCGCCGGAAAUCCUGAAAUAAAUCCAAAAAUAAUGCGAGCACCAGGAUUUGAACCCUGAUGGAUUGAGGAUACAAGUGUCCACUUAAUCAACUCUCGCUUCAGUCAAAGCGAGGUGGUUGGGGCUUGGGUGGCUGUUCGGAUGGGCUGGCCCAGCUGCAAAAUCGAGUGCGUCGUCGCCGGAGUUCCUCAACCUCUCGUGCCGUCGUGUCUAAAAAAAAAGCUCUCGUGCCGUCGUGAAGCCCUAGGCGCAGGCAUGGAACAUGAAACUGAUGCGAGCCGGCGAAAGCGAAUCCACGCCCAUCGCGGCGGCGAGGGCGCGCAGUAGUCGGCGCUCGGCAGCAUCGGAUCCACCGCCACCGCUGCCUCAGGAAGGCCUCCAGUCGGCCGCCACCGCGCCUCGGAUCCGAUGGACACGGGCGCAGAUCCUCCACGCCACCGCCGGCUCAGGAAGGCCUCCGAUCUCCGCACCGCCCCCGCCUACCCACACCCGAAACGGGUAAGUACGGUGCUCAUCCCUGUCAUUUUCGUUGAAUAGUUUCCCUGUGAUUGCUCCGUGUUUGUUGAGCUGUAGGUAGGGGAAAAACAGUUUGGUGUGUAUUCUGCUACAGAUUUUUUUUUUACUAUUUAAUCUCUCAGUUUGUGUUUAAAAUUGGGCACAGCUAGAACACAUGUUCCUGUCCAUCUUUUGCAGCAUAAUGGAGUGCCUAUGUAUUAGCAUAGUGCAUACAUGCUCUUGAAAUUGUUGCGCCUGCUCCUGUCAUUACCAGUCCCUGCUGGGCAGCGGCUGGAUUGAUGGUUUCGUUGCUUGGUUUGGCCAUGCCUUGUACCUGCAGACUUGGCUGGUUCGGCCAUGUGAAAUUAGCAUCUGUGAGCCAGCUGAGCAAGUGACCUCGCAGUCCAGCACCAACAAAGCCCCAAUUCCUGCAGUCAUGGAUAAAGUCUAAUCAGGCGCGCACAGUUACAUAUAUCAACACAAAAUUCCUGGGUGAAUCACACAACAACAAUUGUGACAUAAGCAACGUCUAAAACCUGUUCGGUGAUUAUGUGACCAUCCUUUAAAGCAGUAAACUAUUGAUGCUACAAUCAAACAUGCAAAAGACAUGGUUUGAUUGGGUAGAAGAGAGUGCAGAAGAUGAAUAUUAUAGUCACAUACUUCCAUCUCUGUCUGUAAAAAUAAAGAUCUAUACAUUCAGAAUUACUACAUAUGAAAAAACCAUGACUUCAUUUUAGAGGCUAUCUAAUGAAGUCAAGUGUAUCCACGAUUUCUUUUGAGAUGCAUAUAACCUACUGGAUACCAACAGAGAAGUAAGCUACUGUAAUAUUUUUUUGUUCCUUUUUUAUAGGAUCUUACUAAGAAUACACUUGUUUUUAAGAAAAAACAUUUAGAGUUCCCAGCAGUGUACAAAUACAAUAGACUAAGGGCCGUUCUCACCUGAGAGCACCAGGCCAAGGCGGGUCUGCUUCUUACCAAGUAUCGUCGGAGCCGUCGUACAGGUCAUAACUGUCGUUGCUGUCGCCAUCCUCGUUCUGGACACAAGUGAAUUAAUUCCAGUUCAUUGUCGUACAGGUCAUAGUUAUCCUCAGCAUAAUCACCGGAUAAGACCUUAAAUUUUCCAAUGCUCAGGAUUACAUUUGCAAAAGAUAGACACAGAAACAAUUUGAAACUAGCAGCAAAUUACCAAGUGCAUAGGAUGAACACAUGCAUUCUUUCUUUUGCUUACAUUCUUAACAAUCACAAUGCAAUGGUUAUGAGGUUUCUUUGUUUUGUUUUGGAAACUGGGCAUUACAAUCCUGCCCAACAUGCUUGCUGCCUAAGCAUUCUAAGCAUCCAUAGAGGCAGGGAACAGGGGAAUGGAAAUUCAUCUUCACAUAUGCAGUCCAUGUAUGUCUAGAAAUAUUCCAGUAGUACUAUGACUGUAAUAUUUCCACAACAUAUUACAGAUGACUAAAAUUGUGUGUCAUACAAUUACAUUUUCGGGAUGAGUAAAACACCAACUGCAUGUCACCAAUGUAAACAUGAUGAAAUGAUUAGUUUUCAGAAUCUUAUGUUCAAGCAUAGCAGAACAAAGGAAAAUACCUACUGUCUCCCUGCAAAAACAUGCACAUGUAAAACAUGUGGAUGCUCAUCCAUUUCUAUUCAUGUAGGCUAGCAUAUGAAUGCUGCACAAAUGGCAGUAGGUAACAAUUAGAUUAGAGGAUCACAAAAAUUCUUCCUAAUUACUAACACUGAGGUGACAGUUAAGUGUGUUUUUGGAAAAAUAACAUGAAAAAUGCCUACAGAUAAUAAGAGAACCUUGACUGGCAUGCCUAAUUUUUGAAAAGUAAUAAAAGUUACAGAGUGUGGAACCAGGGAUACAGAAAUACAAAUCAUAAGUUGAUCUGGGUGCGUACCUUUUACUGAGAGCAUAUUUAGACUGGAGUAUGAAACUCAUGUAGCAGGAGCUGCUUGCCUACUAAUUGCGUUGAGACAAAUUACAUUCAAAGAACCUUCCUCUCACUAAUUCUCAUGUGUAAGACAAUAUGAUGGCGGGUACUCAAAGUAGAAAAAUGCUUCUUCCAGAGCAUUCGUUGCAAAUUGUGAAUUUCCUGUCCCCCCAAACAGGAUCAAAGAUCUGAACGAACCUACCUAAUCCUAGAAAGCAAGCGGCAGGUCCUAAUUGUACAAACAGACUCUGCUCCUAGAUUCCCAAAAGAAAAUCGAGUUCUCCAUACCAAAUUCGUACACACUCGCGAUCAUGUUCUAAUCCUCAAUAUACAUGACCAAGCUGGAGUGAAACACUGAAGCAUACCCUGGGCAAGUCGCUUGCCUGCUUGAGACGGGGAGGAGUAGCUUGGGUCGCCCGAGCUUGGAAACGGAGGAGGCUUGAUGCCGGGAUAUUUGAGGUCCGCGCUGGCCAGCGACUGCAGUGUCACCCAAGGCGACGGAGGAGCCAGCUGGAGGUGCGGGAUGCUGCGCCGGUGUCCAUGGAGCCGUCACCCCGGGAACCAUCGCGUUCAGGGUUAGCUGCAGGGCCGCACGCGAUGGCGGAACGGCGAGGCGGUGCUGGGAGGUGAAGGAGGGAGGUAAGACGGAGCUGCGUCGGUGGAGGGCGGCGCGGUAGAAGGCCGGAGUCGGCCGGGAAUGGAGGCAGCGGCAGCAUCUCACUCGGGAGGGAGGUGUUGNNNNNNNNNNNNNNNNNNNNNNNNNNNNNNNNNNNNNNNNNNNNNNNNNNNNNNNNNNNNNNNNNNNNNNNNNNNNNNNNNNNNNNNNNNNNNNNNNNNNNNNNNNNNNNNNNNNNNNNNNNNNNNNNNNNNNNNNNNNNNNNNNNNNNNNNNNNNNNNNNNNNNNNNNNNNNNNNNNNNNNNNNUAUUAGGAUAGGCGUAGUGGGGAAUGGGCCAUGGCGGGCCCUCCAACCGAGGUUUUCAGGGUUAUAACUUAUAAUGAGGCUUUGGUGGCCCGCACGAGGGGCAGCAUGCACCCUUGAUUUGCAGUCAGAGUCGCUCAAUCGGACGGUCAAAAAAGACGGGAUGGCUAGGAGCACGUUCUCUCGCGCAGGACUUCUCUUGGCGGAUUUACGUUGUUUAGGUGGAGUCACUCUUUCAUGUGUUUUGCUUGUUCAUGCACUGAAAUUUACUAGGAAUGUUGUCAAUACUUAGUUAUUUGGAAUUCCCUGACUUCUAUUUCAUUUAUUUCUCACCAAAACAAAACUAGAUACGCCCGGGCGAGGAGCACAACAGUUGCUGUGAGGACAAGAUCAGCAGCUUACCUGACGAGAUGUUAAUCUUGAUCAUCGACAAGCUAGAUGCACGGACAGCGACAAACACCACUAUCCUUUCGAAGCGAUGGCGGGAUCUCUAUACACACUCACACACAUGUUAUGACCUUACGGUUGAUGACAUUCUCCCUCCACGGUACCACAGACUGAAGCAAAUUGUGGUGGAGGCUGAGGCAGGGUACGAGGCAAAGAAGAAUGCACUGAAGUCGGAUGACAGUGAUGCUUCUAGAGACCAGUUAUAUUCCUUCAAAGACUGGAAGUGGAAAGUCCGUCUGCUAACACCCAUCCUGCAACGUUAUGAGCGUUCGGCCAUGCGACGCUAUGUUAAACGGGUGAAUGCAUUCCUUCUGGCUCCCAACAAUGUUCAGCCACGGUCUAUCCAGAAGCUGAGGCUUCAAGCCUGUGGGACGAGCUAUUUCACUGAUCAAUGGAUUACGCAAGCGAUUGGCAGAUGGGGCGUUGAAGAUUUGGAGCUUGUCAUUGACAACUCUUGCUGGCUCUAUGACUUCCGGCUGUUGGAUGGAUGCAAAAAUGUGCGGCUGAAACGGCUUGUGCUAUCCAAUUGUUAUCAUUUUGUUGCACCCUACUCCUUGACGUUUCAGAGGCUCACAUCACUCACUCUCUGCAAAGAAAGUUCACGUAUGUCACGCGUUGAUGAUAUUCUGAGAAACUGUGUGCAGCUGCUGGAUUUGAGGCUGAAAGAUUUUAGUUGUCGCCAACCUGCUUUUCAUAUCUUUGUUCCUAACUCAAAGUUAAAGAGUCUGCAAUUGGACAGCUACAACACUGUGGGUGCCUACCUGGGUUUGGUGCCUUAUCUUGAAACAUUUGCUUGUGGUGGUCAGCCAACUAUACUACACUAUGGCGUGGUGCCUCGACUUAGGCAUGUGAGUCUGAACUUCUUGCAAACUAGAGAUGACGGCAAGGAUGAUUCCUCCGGUAGCGACAGGACAUAUCAAAUAAGCAAAUUCUUUUUAGGGGAGCCGCCACCGCUAGAGUACCUUGUUCUGCAGUUAAGAGGGCGUCAGGUAAGUAGCUUUUCCUGAAAUGAUCUCUUUCUUAUUGGUCAUAACAUUGCAUCGGUACAUAAGACAGCACUAAAUUAUCACUUCAUUUAUGCAGAUGUGGAUUGAACUAACCGCCAUUCGCAGCCAGCUUAAUCAUCUCAAGAAACUAUUCAUUGCAAAUGUGCCAAUGAACUGGGAUACAUUCUGGAUUCUCCACCUACUUGCUGCCGCACCUGCCUUGGAGUCGCUCCAUGUUCAUGUACAUUCAUCCUACGAUUUUNNNNNNNNNNNNNNNNNNNNNNNNNNNNNNNNNNNNNNNNNNNNNNNNNNNNNNNNNNNNNNNNNNNNNNNNNNNNNNNNNNNNNNNNNNNNNNNNNNNNNNNNNNNNNNNNNNNNNNNNNNNNNNNNNNNNNNNNNNNNNNNNNNNNNNNNNNNNNNNNNNNNNNNNNNNNNNNNNNNNNNNNNNNNNNNNNNNNNNNNNNNNNNNNNNNNNNNNNNNNNNNNNNNNNNNNNNNNNNNNNNNNNNNNNNNNNNNNNNNNNNNNNNNNNNNNNNNNNNNNNNNNNNNNNNNNNNNNNNNNNNNNNNNNNNNNNNNNNNNNAAGAAUUCUGAAUGCAGUUUGACAGCAAGUCAGAGAAGGCAACUGCUGGAUCACUGAAUGUGCAAGUGGAGCACCAUCACCUGAAAGAACUCAUGGUCAUCGGCUUCGACGGUGUGGCGUGGCAGACCGGCUUUGUGAAGCGGAUCUCACAGACGGGAUCAAAUAUUCGCCGCAUCUCGAAAUAGUUUUGGAAUGACUUUUGGUAAAAGUCCGCUGUGCCUGUAGCCUUCCGUUCUGUAGGACUUGCAGCUGUAUGCCAGGGCCUAAUGAUUAUGUUAUGCUGGCUCUAAAGAUAGAACAACAUGUGUUUGUAUGGAGUAUCUUGUGCUUUACUUUUGCUCGAUUAUCCAAAGGACGGACGGGUGUAGCUGCUGUUGAGAUGAUUGAUUCCGUGGUGUUCAUUGUGUGGCUUGACUAGGCAAAAUUACCACUUGGACGCGCCUAAAAGAUAUUUUUCUUUCUUCUCCUCCUUUUUGAUAGAACCAAAAAAGAUCUGCAGCAUCCUUUUGUAAAGAAAUAUAAGAGCAUUUAGAUCACUAAAGUAUUGAUCUAAACGCUCUUACUCUUCUUUAUGGAGGGAGUACACGGUAAUGUUCAACACCAUCUAUAUGUUUAUCGAGAGGGGAUAUGUGGCACGCAGGUGCAGUGUACGGACCCAUUUUUCUUUUGCCUUCCCAUUUUCAAUAUUUUCGUAUCUGUUGAACUGAAAUUUCAAAUUAAGUUUUGCUUUUAUAUUCGUCUUUCUUGCGACGAGGGCUUUCAAAUACGACUCAUUUUGAAUAUGUUUUGAUGGUUUUCUUUUAAAACUUUGUUAGGUUUCAUCUGUUGAAACUUGAUACAAAGAAUGACAAAAAGUCCAAACACAAAGACACCGGUUCAGAUUUAUGCGAAUAACCGUUUCCACACUAUCUACAUGUUUUUUUUUUUAAAAAAAAAUUACACACUAUCUAGUACUCCCUCUGUAAGAUCUGGUUGGGCUGAGUGAGUCGACGGCGGCUCGGCAGCGUCGGAGUCGGAUUCGUCCCGUCAGCCCUCCUGAAUCAGCCCCGCACCCCAUUGCCUCCCCGCGAAUCCGCCGCCGCCGCCCACUCCGCGCCGACCGGCCGGCCGGCCAGUCGACACCGGCCCCCGGAUCCGAUGGACACGUGCGCAGAUCCUCCGCGCUAUCGCCGGCUCAGGAAGGCCUCCGACCUCCGGACCGCCGCCGCCCACCCACCCCAGAAACGGGUACGUACGGCACCCAUCCUCGCGAUUUCUGCUGAAUGUUUUGCAUCCGUUACAACCAAGAGGAAGAAGGAGCUGUUUAUUUCUGGAGGAUUGCUCCAUGUUUGUUGAGCAGUACUACUGGUGCUGUAAGCUUAGUCUUGUGCAUAAGCUAGCUGUCCAAAUGAGCCUCGUGUAAGCAGCGGCGUGGAGAAGCAUCUCUAUUUUUAACCACCUGUUUGGAGUGGCUUCUAGCAAUUGAGCUUAUUUGGGAGUAUUUGGUAACCGUGUCAAGUCUCAAACACCCAUAUACAUCAACCAAGAGCCAACACAAACACUGUAUCACAGUGACACAUGAAAAACAAGAGCUACCAAAUCAUUUCGGCAGUGCAAUAGUCUGAGAUCCAUGGUAAUGCAAAGUAAAUCUCGGAGAUAUGGCACUGUUCUUGCAUACAUCCAUACAACGAAAUUGACAAGAUAAUUAGAAAGGGGGGAAUUGAGAAGCGAAAUGUGAAAAGGAGAGGAACAUGAGAACAGAGGCAUAUUUCCUAGCGGAGAGGGACGGGGGGCGCGGGUGGCACGGAGAAGCUCGAGAAGCCUCUCUUUUGAGGCUUCCUGCUACACACGUGAAAUGGGAGGGGCUCCCCCCUGGCAGCCACAUAGAAGCUUUGCCUUAGGGAUAGCUUAAGGCUUAUUUGAACCAUAAGCCAUCCCACAAGCCGUUCCUAACCCAGUGGUAGGUAGAGACAAUGCAGUUUUGUGUGUAUGUUGCUACUGAUUUUCUCUCUUUUUAGUCUAUAAGUUUAUUGUUAAAAAAUGUGGCAACUAGAACACCUGUUCCUGUUCAUCUUUUGCAGCAGAAUGGAGUACCUAUAUAGUAUGAUACAUAUAUGCUCUUAAAAUUGUUGUGCCUGCUCGUGUCAUUAAUAUUUAGGUUGAAUAGGUGGACGCACUCUUCCAUUUGUUUUGCUAGUUCGUGCACUAUUUUUGACUAGUAAUGUUGUUAAUGGUUACUUUUAAGGCAAAUUGCUCAGUUAUCUGUUUAAGCUAUUUGGAAUUCCCUGACUGUUCUUCAUUUAUGUCUCACCAAAAUAAAACUAGAUGCGUCCGAGUGAGGAACACACCAGUUUCUGUGAGGACAAGAUCAGCAGCUUACCCGAUGAGAUGUUAAUCAUGAUCGUCAAUAAGCUAGAUGCACGGACGGCAAUAACCACCACUAUCCUUUCGAAGAGAUGGCGGGAUCUUCCUGCACACUCGCACACAUGUUAUGACCUGAUGACAUCCUCCCUCCACGCUAUCACAGACUGAAGCAAAUGGUGGUGGAGGCUAAAGCAGGGUAUGUGGCAGAGAAGAACGUACUGAACUUGGCCGGCAGUCAUGCUUUUAGAGACCGAUUCUUUGCCGUCAAUGACUGGAUGUGGAUAGUCCAACGGCUGACUACCCACCUGCAACGUUAUGAGCGUUGGGCCAUGCGACGCUAUGUUAAACGGGUGAAUGCGUUCCUUCUGCCCCGCACCAAUGUUCAGCAACGGUCUAUCAAGAAGCUGAGGCUUCAAACCUUUGGGACGAGCAAUUGCAAUGAUCAAUGGGUUACAUCAGCGAUUGGCAGAUGGGGCGUUGAAGAUUUGGAGCUUGUCAUUGACAACUCUUCCUGGUGCUAUGACUUCCGGCUAUUGGAUGAAUGCAAGAAUGUGCGAUUGAAACGACUUGUGCUAUCCAAUUGUUAUCAUCAUUAUGCACCCAAGUCCUUGACGUUUCAGAGGCUCACAGCACUUACUCUGCGCAAAGAAUGUUCGCAUAUUUCACACGUUUGUUAUAUUCUGAGAAACUGUGUGCAGCUGAAGGAUUUGAGCCUGAAAUAUUCCGGUCAUAACCAAGAUUCUCUUCAUAUUCGUGUUCCUAAGUCAAAGUUAAAGAAUCUGCAAUUGGACAACUGCAAUGUUGGGCAAGUCUAUCUGACUUCACUGCCUUGUCUUGAAGCAUUUGCUUGUCGCGGUCAGCCAAUCGAAUUACACUACAGCGAGGUCCCUCGACUUAGGCAUGUGAGUUUGAACUUCUUGCAAACUGGAGAUAAUGCCAAGGAUGGUUCCUUAUGUGGACUGAGCAAGUUGUUUUUAGGGAUUCCGCCACCGCUAGAGUACCUUGCUCUGCAAUUAAGAGGGGGUCAGGUGAGUAGCCAUUCCUGAAAUGAUAUUGUUUUUUUAUUGAUCAUAGCAUCGCAUCGCUACAUAAGAUAGUACUUAAUUAUCACUUCAUUUAUGCAGAUGUGGAUUAAACCUGCUGCCAUUCGCAGCCAGCUUAAUCAUCUCAAGAAACUAUUAUUUGCAAACGUGGCAAUGAACUGGGAUACAUUCUGGAUUCUCACCCUACUUGCUGCCGCACCUGCCCUGGAGUCACUCCAUGUUCAUGUAUGUUUACCCUACUUUUUUUUUCAAGCACAAUACUUUUUGGGGUUUGAAAGAUUUCUGAAACUCUGAAAUCUGAAUGCAGUUUGUCAACAACUCAGGGAAGGUGGGUGCUGCAGGAUCACUAGAUGUGCAAGUGGAACACCAUCAGCAGCACCAUCACCUGAAAGAACUCGUGGUCAUCGGCUUCGGCGGGGCGGCCUGGCAGACAGGCUUUGUGAAGCAGAUCAUCCAGGCAUCGCCGAUCCUGGAGCGCGUCCACCUGCUGGACGGGCACGUUGUCGAUGAUGAGGAUCGGGAGCUCGUCGGCCUGGAGAUCGUCCGCCGCCGCCGGGAGUGGCACGAGUGCGAGAGAUUGAAGGUGCUCGACGAACUGACAGACGGGAUCAGUUCGCCGCAUCUCAAAAUAGUUUUGGAAUGACUUUUGGUAAAAGUCCGCUGUGCCGGUAGCCUUCCGUUCUGUAGGGCUUGCAGCUGUAUGCCAGGGCCUAAUGAUUAUGUUAUGCUGGCUCUAAAGAUAUUGAACAACAUGUGUUUGUAUGGGGUAUCUUGUGCUUUACUUUUGCUCGAUUAUCCAAAGGACGGAUGUAGCUGCUGUUGAGAUGAUUGAUUCCGUGGUGCUCAUGGUGUGGCUUGACUAGGCAAAAUUACCACUUGGGGCGCGCCUAAAAGAUAUUUUUCUUUUUCUUUCCUCCUUUCUGAUAGAACCAAAAAAGAUCUGCAGCAUCCCUGAUAUUGUUGACUACUGCUACUUGUUGGACCAGAACAACAACUUGGUGGACCUGAUAUCACAACUGAACCCUAGAGACUCAAGCACUGGUUUAAGGUCAUAUAUAGAUGGCCAAAAUUUCAAAACCAAAAAAGAUACAAACAUGGUAAGUACUGUACACGGAUAAGGUUUCAACACCGUCUAUAUAUUUACCGAAAGAGGAUUUAUGGCACACAGGUGCGGGGCCAUCGACCCCAUUUUUCUUUUGGCUUUCGAGUUUCAAUAUUUCGUAAAAGUUCAAAUUAAGUUUUGUUUCCGUAUUCGCCUGUCUUGUGCGAGGGCUUUCAAAUAUUACCCAUUUUGAACAUGUUUUGACGAGUUUUUUUCCCCUUCUUCUACACUUCCUUUAGUUUUGCCCGCUGAAACAUGAUACAGAGAACGGCAGAAAGCCAAAACACAAGGACACCGGUUCAAAUUCAUAGGAAAAAACGUUUGCACACUUCCUUGCAUGGUACGUACUCACCUCCGUUCCAAAGUUAGUGUAAAGUUGAGUCAUUUAUUUUGAGACGGAGGGAGUAACCAAGGAUCCAUUCAAAUUCACACGGAAAUUCACCGCUUCCNNNNNNNNNNNNNNNNNNNNNNNNNNNNNNNNNNNNNNNNNNNNNNNNNNNNNNNNNNNNNNNNNNNNNNNNNNNNNNNNNNNNNNNNNNNNNNNNNNNNNNNNNNNNNNNNNNNNNNNNNNNNNNNNNNNNNNNNNNNNNNNNNNNNNNNNNNNNNNNNNNNNNNNNNNNNNNNNNNNNNNNNNNNNNNNNNNNNNNNNNNNNNNNNNNNNNNNNNNNNNNNNNNNNNNNNNNNNNNNNNNNNNNNNNNNNNNNNNNNNNNNNNNNNNNNNNNNNNNNNNNNNNNNNNNNNNNNNNNNNNNNNNNNNNNNNNNNNNNNNNNNNNNNNNNNNNNNNNNNNNNNNNNNNNNNNNNNNNNNNNNNNNNNNNNNNNNNNNNNNNNNNNNNNNNNNNNNCGUCAGCUGCUGCGGCACACCGAGCACCAGCACCACCACCCCCAACCUGCACCCUCCAGGACAAAGGCCCGAGACGGGAGCGCUCCCCCCACAAUUCCUGGCCCCCGGUCGCGCGCCCCAUCCUCCCUCCCCUCCGCACGGCCCCCGAGGCGCCGCCGCCGGCGCAUCCGCAUCCGACGCAUCCGCCGACCGCCCCUCCGUCCGUCCGUCGCCCGCGUCCCCGAUGUAAGCCUCCCGCCGUCCCCUCCCCCAUUUCGCACGGCUAUCCGGUUUUCCCAAUCCGGCGGCGGCGGCCGGCGCCGUUCCUCGCGAUCGGGCCGCGCGGCGGGCUCCCGGCCGCGAUCCGAUGCGGUCCCUCCGGCCCGAUGCGUCCUCCGGCGGCCGAUUCGCGCGCGGCUUUUGUGUGUUAGGCUCGUGGUUAGGACGGCGCGUACGGCGCGUGCUGUUUGUUGGAUUUAGGAGCGAUGCGUGGUCCGCGUGGGAUUGGCGGCCCGCGGCUCGUCUGGGCCCGAUUUGGCGCCCGAUUGGCCGGAGCCCCGCUGCAAAGGCGGGAUUUUUCUCCGCCGUGGGUGGAGAUCCCCUUGUGGGGGAGGAGGCAUCGGGCGAUGGAGAUGCCCGCCCGGCUCCCUUUUGCGGCUGUGGUGGCAUUCGAUUCCGGCUAGAGGGCUGCGGUGCUAGGAACGCAAGUCAUGUCUUUAGGAGUGCCUCAAGCCCCUGCGUUGAUUCCUCCCCAGAUGUUUGUCUAUCUGUCUGUCUGUCUCGGCUGCUCAUGUUUGGUUUGCAUAGGCAUGGUGAAGGAGCGAGUUGUGAGCUGAGAUUUUUACGUGUGUAUAUGUAUGGUUGCCUGUCACCGUUUCCUUUUACCUGUAUUCAUUGUUUUGUGUUUGGUUUCUUGUGCAUGGGGAGAUUGCCAGGAGCGCCGAGGGGUGUAACGGCAGGCCGGGUUGCAUGGACGGAUAAUGCCAGAGCUGCGAAGUGGUGUUCGGAGAGCUUGUCUGAGGUCCAGCAGGCUUGAAGACGUCCAGGCUGCAGAUCAGGUAGCCGCUCCCGUGUUGCCAGCUCCCCGGGGGAGGGGUGGGAGGCGUGGUGGUGGUGGUGCGGCUGGCAGAGGCAACAAGAAAGCAGCUGCCGCGGGAAGAGGAAGGCCAGCUCCAAAGGCUAGAGGAAAGAGGGUCGAGGCUAUUGAUCUGACUGACCAGCCUUUCGAGGACAUCCCUGAAGCUAUCGUUGGAGAGGCAGUUGCAGCCACCGCCCAGCAGGACCUUGGUUUGAACAAGGUAGCUGACAGGGCCGCCAACUUCAAAAUGGAAGGUGCAAGUGGUGAUAGACUUGCAGCGGCGGAAGAUGAAGCCACGACGACGCCAGUGCCUGAGAGGGUAUGACUUCCUGUUUUUCCCGUGCACUUGUUUACGUCGGCUAUCCUAUUUCUACACUGAUUGUGCAAGUAUUUCUUCCCAUUCCUCUAUGUUUGUUAUGUUACUUGCUAAUGAUGUUAACUUUGUUUGGUAAUAUUUGUACCAUCAUGUGGAAAUGCAUUGUUCUUUUGUUGUAUCAUGCAUACCUAUCUAUCUCUCCUUUGGCAAGUAGUGUGUCCUUCUAGAAAAUUUCUCAUGAUGUAAUAAGUAAUUAUUGAUUGUUGUUCAUCUAAAGAAUGAAUGCGGCGAAAAGCUAAGCAUGUGCAUCAGAGAUCGUGUUUAUACUUCCAUGAGAGUAGUCAAGACUGAGUGGCUGUAUUAUGGUAGUUUUGUUUUGUAGCAGAAAGCAAACAUCUAAUAAGAUAUUGAAAUAGAAGCCAGUUGGAGUUAAAAAGAAGAAACUAAUUUCACAUCAACAUAAAUACAGAAAUAUUGUUGUUUUGGCUGCAAACCCAAAUCAAUUUUCAUACUCUUCCUUUCUCCCUCUCUCUGGGAAAAGCACCGCAUGUUUGUCUUCCACCGGUCAUUGCUAAUUAUAGCAGAGUGACACACAUUUCCUUAGUUCCCUAAUUUGAUGAAUUUGCUGUGAAUAGUACAUAUAUAUGGGGGUUUCCUUUUCCCAUAAUGUAAUGACCAAAAUAGGCUUCUCAUUUUCUCUAGUGCUGCUUAGUUUGCUCUCGUGGUCAUAUUAUUACUGAUCCACCAAUACAGUUUUGUAUAGUAGAGUUCUGUUUACAUGAUAUAAGCUCCUAAAAAUCUGAAUGUUACAUCUAACUAUUGCAGGUUCAAGUUGGUGGUUCUCCAGAAUAUAUAACUGAUAGGAAGUUGGGUAAAGGUGGAUUUGGCCAGGUCUAUGUUGGCAGAAGAAUAACUGGUGGGGCUUCUCGUACGGGCCCAGAUGCAUACGAGGUUUCUUUUCUCACCUGCCUCAGUUGGACACUAGAGUCCUCCUUGAUCUAGUUGAAUCUUAUAUGGAUUAAUAUGCUUUAGGUUGCACUCAAACUUGAACAUCGAAGAAGCAAAGGAUGUAGUUAUGGCCCCCCGUUUGAGUGGCAGGUUUAUCAGUAAGAACUAUACAUAAUCCACCCUUUUUACAUUUAUGUUAUUUUCUGUGGAGCAUGGCAUGCUAAACUUUCUGUGACAGGUCUCUCAAUGGUUGUUAUGGCAUACCAUCAGUCCACUACAAGGGUCGCCAGGGAGACUACUACAUUCUUGUGAGUUCAACUAUAGUUAUGCAACUCCAGACUGCCUCUUAAUAUGAUCCUUCAUAGUCAAUUCAACCUGCAUUUCAAAAUUUCAGGUAAUGGAUAUGCUGGGUCCUAGCCUCUGGGAUGUUUGGAAUUCAAUGGGACAGGCGUGAGUAUCUUACUAAUCUUUUCACCCUGUCAGCAUGUUUUUCUUACUCCUUGCUGAAAGCACCAAUAUCCCAAACAGGAUGUCUUCUCAUAUGGUUGCUUGCAUUGCCGUUGAGUCCAUAUCAAUCCUUGAGAAGCUUCAUUCCAAAGGGUAAUUUUCUACAGCCAUGUGUCUCUGUCAAUGAUCCUGGAGUCCAUGGACAUCAUUUUCCUAUCCUUUGUUGGUAUUAACACUUCUUCUGCUUCCUAUUAUUGUCAGCUUUGUCCAUGGAGAUGUAAAGCCAGAAAACUUUUUGCUUGGUCAACCUGGAUCACCUGAUGAGAAGAAGCUUUUCCUAAUUGAUCUUGGUUUAGGUAUGUUCUUGUUUAAGACAGUUUCAUCUUUAUAUGUAGAUGUCCAGUUUCAUAUUUUCAGUGAGCUGUGGCCUUCAGUCAUAAGAAUCGCUACAUAAUAGGAUGUUGAUGGUUUGACACAUUUUAUGCGCCACUAUAACCUUUUUCAUGUGGUUCUGUUAAUAUCUAAAUUAUGCAGCAUCCAAGUGGAAAAAAGCAUCAUCCAGUCAGCAUGUUGAAUAUGACCAGAGGCCAGACAUCUUUAGGUUGGUUCUAUACUAUAUUCUUUAUGUACAAAACUAAAAAUUAUUCACCUAUUAACUAACCUAUUUCCUUUUAUGAUUUCCAGGGGAACAAUUAGAUAUGCUAGUGUCCAUGCUCAUUUAGGCCGUACAGGCAGUAGAAGGGAUGAUUUGGAGUCACUAGCGUACACCCUUAUUUUUUUAAUAAGAGGAAGAUUACCUUGGCAAGGCUUUCAGGUAGCCUUAGAUGCGCUCAUAAGAGUUUGACUAAUAAUUUACUGUUUGCUCUUGAACCCAUUUUAAUGUUAAUUGCUUAUUAAUGCAGGGAGACAACAAGAUCUUUCUUGUUUGUAAGAAGAAGAUGGCUACCUCUGCGGAUGUUCUGAGUUGCUUCUGUCCACCUCCAUUCAAACAUUUUCUUGAGAUGGUCACUAAUAUGAAAUUUGAUGAAGAGCCAAAUUAUGCAAAACUUAUUUCUCUCUUUGAUAGUCUGAUUGAAGUGCCUGCUUCAAGACCCAUCAGAAUUGAUGGUGCUCUAAAGGUUUGUUCUGCUGUACCUAUGCUCCGUCGUUUUUUUUUGUAUUAAAAUUGAUCAUGCAUCUGUUUUAUGUAUUGUAGGUUGGGCAGAAACGUGGAAGAAUGGUUGUAAAUCUUGAAGAAGAGGAACAGCCUAAGAAGAAAGUUCGGUUGGGGAGCCCAGCAACUCAAUGGAUUUCGGUUUAUAAUGCUAGGCGGCCUAUGAAGCAGCGGUAAUUGUCUUAAAAUAUGAAUUUAGUGCAGAGUUCUUCAUUCUUAUGUCUGCUUGCCCAGACAUUAUUUCUUCUAUGAAUUCUCAUUUCCUUGCCCUUGAAAAAUUGGCCUGUUCUAGUGAUUCAGGUACCAUUUAAACUGACAUAAGUUGUCUCUUGCACACAUUAUUGGCCAAACUUAGCCUAGUACACCCUCCCCUCUCUCUUCCUGACACAUAGUCAGCAGUCAACUGUGCUGUGGUGAUUCAUGUUGAACAUGCGAUCGUUCUUAGUGUGAACUCACACUUUGAAGUGUCAUUUACCUUGUAAAAGCUGUGAUUCGAAUUACACUAUUAUUGAUUUUUGUAACUGAACCAUUCAUGGUAGCUCUAGUGAUGGAAGGGGCUUGGUUUGUGUUUAUUAUGAUUUAAGCUUGUGAAGCUCCUGUUUGGUUACUCUUGCUUUCUUGAGCCUGAGAUAUUUAUUGGUCAAUUAUUUAUCAUCCUUCGUAAAUUGAUGCAUUGGUUAUUUGUCCUUUUUACAGAUACCACUACAAUGUAGCCGAUUCAAGGUUGCACCAGCAUAUUGAAAAAGGCAAUGAAGAUGGCUUGUACAUUAGUUGUGUAGCUUCUUCAGCAAAUUUUUGGGCUCUCAUAAUGGACGCUGGGACCGGGUUUGGUUCUCAAGUGUAUGAGCUUUCACAAAUUUUCCUGCACAAGGUGCGCCACGGUCUCUGUCCUCGCUAGUUGGAAUUUUGAUAAUCCAGAAUCUUGAUGCUAUAUUGUUUAUGACUUUUUAUAUAGGAUUGGAUUAUGGAGCAAUGGGAAAAGAACUUCUAUAUAACAGCAAUAGCUGGAGCAACCAAUGGAAGCUCAUUGGUUGUGAUGUCCAAAGGUUUGUAAAUUACCUGUUCUUUCUUGACAGCUGCUCAUUUGUUGAAACUGCUCCCUUUGGUGAAGAUCGCACGUUUGAGAGAGAACUGCUAUACGUAUAACACGAACUAGUAUGCUUUUACUGAUGUAUCACAUAAAUGUUUGAGCACAUAACUUGUGAUCAGAGUGAGGAAAAUUACUAUAUUAGAUCAUCUGUACCAAAUUUAUACCUGAUUUUAUCGUAUGUGCAGUCGUUCCCUUUUAAAAAUGAGCAGUUAUCUGGAAACUAACAUUUAGCAGAACCUCCAAGCCACCAAGGUUAUGAUAGAGGUCAUCAGAAUUGGUGUGUGGAGGUUGCCACAGCAUUGUUGGUACAGGAUACAUCAGUCUGUCCUUGGUCACUGUUCUGAUAAACUAGCGCUGAGCAAACAUUUUUACUAGUUUUCUGUUUUUAAUAUUUACAUACGAAGUUAAACAAAUUAUCAGCAUCUGUCUACUGUCUAGAUCCUUGAUGUUUUGUAUAGCCCGCUGUUCCCUUUUCCGUGAUUUAUACAUGUAAUCUGAUCUUCGAUAUCAUUACAGGAACUCCAUACACACAGCAGUCAUACAAAGUCAGUGAAUCUUUUCCUUAUAAGUGGAUUAAUAAAAAGUGGAAAGAAGGUUUUCAUGUAACAUCCAUGGGUACUGCUGGGAACCGUUGGGGAGUUGUCAUGUCGAGGAAUGCGGGCUACUCUGACCAGGUCAAAACACAUGCUGCACUUCUUUGUGAUAAAUUAUUUGAAAAUAUAAUUUUCAUGAAUUUGGUGGUCCCUCACGUAUAUAAUUUCUCAUGUGUUUAAACAUACAUUUGACGACUGCAUAUGUUAUAAAAAAGAGGAAAAACAAUACUUAACAUAUGUCUGCUUUUCAGUUCUGUAGAUCUCUGCAAGCUAAACUCUUUUGAAAAUUUAGAUGGUUCACAUCUGACAACCAGCAAUUUGAGCAUUGCAUGUAAAAUAUGUAACUGUAAAAGCAUAUGCUGCUCUUCAAGGUUGGCUUCAGUUAACCUUGGAGAACUGGGUUCUGUACCGUUUCGAUGAGUAAUUAUGUAGAGUUGUGCCAAGUCUGAAUUUUCUUACAUAUAGGUCAUAAGGUGUGGCCAGUGUGGUGUUGCCACAUGACCGACCAGUGAUGAAACUGAAUCUGUGUUGCAACCUGCAGGUUGUAGAGUUGGAUUUUCUGUAUCCAAGUGAAGGACUCCAUCGGCGAUGGGAGAGUGGUUACAGAAUAACUUCAUCCGCAGGCACACCUGACCAAGCUGCUUUUAUCUUGAGCAUACCAAAGAGGAAGCCACUGGACGAGACCCAGGAAACCCUUCGAACUUCUGCCUUCCCCAGUAACCACGUGAAGGUACCUCGUGCAUUUUUGUCCACCAUGUGUUGAUUAGUGCCUUUACCUAACCCAACCCUCGGAACCGAAAAAUUUCAGGAAAAGUGGGCGAAGAACCUGUACAUCGCCUCAAUCUGCUACGGGCGAACCGCGUGUUGACGGCGUACUUGAGCUCGACGGCGAAAUCACCCGAGUUUUACCACUGGAGCCAGAAGAGAGUUCGAGACGGAACAAACUCAGCGUCAACCUUAUUAUCUAGGUUUCGAGCGCAAUUGGCUGGGCGCUGACACUGGCCCGGCCUCUUUUGGUUGGCGGCACGCUAUUCUAAUUGUAAAGAAUCUUGCGAAGAUCCUUGGUGUUGUUGUAUCAGUCCUCAUCGGAUGGAUAUGAACCUGUUGAUAAGCUAAGGUCAUAUUAUUGGCAGAUUUGCUGUUGCUCAUUUUCGCAGCUCACCUGUAGCAAUAUCCUAUGUGAGGAAGCUGCAGAGGCUGCUGUCAAUCCCAUGAUGCAACUUUUGCUAACUGACUCCAAAAGGUUUGGCACACAGCACAGCACACCUGGAUCAUGAUUCAGUUGCUGUCAAUCCAUGAUGCAACCUUUGGUAACCGACUCCAAAAGGUUUUGGUACACAGCAUACCUGGACGUAACCUAAGGGCUCCUUUGAUUCAAAGGAAUUUUAUAGAAUUUCUGAAGGAUUGAAAUCCUUAGGAUUUUUUUCUAUGUUGCUCCUUUGAUUUAUAGGAUUGAAUCCCAUAAGAAUUUUUCCUAUGGAAUUUUUUGUACUACAUUUCAUAGGAAAUCUAACAUCCACUCCAACCUUUUUUUACAAUUCCUUUGUUUUUCCUGUGCAGUCAAACACUCGGGGCUCCUUUGAUUCAAAGGAAUUUUAUAGGAUUUCUGAAGGAUUGAAAUCCUUAGGAUUUUUUUCUAUGUUGCUCCUUUGAUUCAUAGGAUUGAAUCCCAUAAGAAUUUUUUCUAUGAAAUCUUUUGUACUACAUUUCAUAGGAAAUCUAACAUCCACUCCAACCUUUUUUUACAAUUCCUUUGUUUUUCCUGUGCAGUCAAACACCCAUUGCUAAUCCUAUAGGAUUCAAGUGGGCAUGCCACUCCAAUCCUAUACUUUUCCAAUUCCUACGUUGUAAACAUCCUAAGAAUUAAAGAGACCCUCAUUGCUAAUCCUAUAGGAUUCAAGUGGGCAUGCCACUCCAAUCCUAUACUUUUCCAAUUCCUACGUUGUAAAAAUCCUAAGAAUUAAAGAGACCCUCAUUGCUAAUCCUAUAGGAUUUAAGUGGGCAUGCCACUCCAAUCCUAUACUUUUUCAAUUCCUACGUUGUCAAAAUCCUAAGAAUAAAAGAGGCCCUAAGUUGGGUUUUAUAUAGUGCCAUGCCCAUGCGCCUGAAAUGAGAUUAGUGUGUGGUCUGUUACAGUCUUACAGAGCCUAUGUUGGGUUCGCCGUGCUAUCCUUAGGACAUUUUGACCUGUACGUCAUUUCAACUAGUAGAAUGGAGAUGUUGCCGAUAUGGUACAGCUCCAGAAUCAGAAUCACGGCCAAAAUAUCCAAUCUUACCCUUUUUGAGAAGUUCUUGUUAGAAACCCACAGUCUAGCUACUGACUCAUAAUUGGCGCCCACUGCCUUUUUGAAUUAACUUUGCACAACCUCCCAGAUAGCAGAGGAAACCACACAAUCAAAGAAUAAAUGGGUGAUGUUUUCAUCACAGGCACAAAAGAGACAUUCUCUACCUUUGUCUAUAUGUCUUUUGAGCAAUUGUUUUUAGUCAUUAAUUUAUUAUGUCCUAGCAGGCAGAGAAAAAUAUGAGAGGGACAGACAGCUUCCAAACUACAGGAAUGUAAACUAGACAGCUUCCAAACCGCAGGAAUGUAAACUGGUUGCACACUCUGGAAAUUAAUAACCGAAUAGAAAGCGCUAGUAGAAUAAACACCAUUCUUCUCCAAACGCCAGAUCAAGGCAUUUGAAUCACCAGAGAAAGUAAUGCUCUUACCUAUUUCUACCAAUUCAUACCACUUCUCCAUCACCUGGGGAGUAAAGGACUUCCAAAAGGUACUUUUAAGGUUGUCCCCAUCCCACACAGUUUUGCUACUAACAUUCUUCUCCAUGCAAAUGAGGUAAAGAUACCAGUAUUGCACAUCAAGGGGAGUUGUACCAAUGCAAGUAUCUUCCCAAAACCUAAUUUAAUCCCAUCCCCCACCAUCCAUCUAUAACCAAAUUUGAUGGCUUUGAUUAGAUGUGACCCCUUUCCAGAAGGUGGAAGCAUUGGUGGAGGAGCUCAUGAAGAUGUUUGGGGAGGUAUUUGAGUAUUUGCCAUCAAUUACUUGUUUCCGGAGUUUCCCACCCCCCUGGAUAUAUCUCUUAAUCCAAGAGCCUAGGAGACUCAUAUUCACUUCUUUAAGGUUUGGGAUCCCUAAACUCCCAUACUCCCUUUUCAUGCAAAUCAUCCCCCAAUUGGCUAGGUGAUGCUUCAUGUUCCCCUCAAAAUCACUCCACAGGCAAUAGGUAGGGUUCUUCCCAAAUCUCUAAGAGAUAUGGUCUUGGGAUAUAGUCUUCUCAAAUCCAAAGGAUAUGGAGGUCUUGGUAAUCCAAAAGGGGAUUCUUCUCCUUAGGAGGUGUUGAUCCUCUAGGACAAGAUAAGAUGAGCAAAACUCUCUCAAGAUCUAGUUUUGCUUUGCUAACCCUAGAAAAUGGGAGAGUUGCGAAAUAUAUAGGUGCUAGAGGCAAGGGAGGAAGUUUCCCGGUCACUGCUCGCAUGCAAGCACAUGCGCACGGGGUAAAGGGGGUGUGGGAACGGGGUGUCCAGAGAGUUAGCGAGGGACCCCAUGCGCACGGGAUGUCUAGAGAAUUUCUGGGUUAGUCCGUGCGCACGGGGGUGCAGGGCUCUGUGGGCACGGGGUAUGCAAAGAGAGCUUCUACUCGUCUUCAGUCUCUGGGCAUCUUCUUCGAUGCCUCCUUCUUGCUCCUUCUCGUGGACCUGGCGUUACUUCCUCGCUUCUCCGUGGUGGUCUUCAUCGUACCUAAUCACACAUAGAGUUCCACUUUGAGGUAGUAGCCAAGUCUCAUCCAAAUCUAUAGGGAGCUCAAGUAGGAGAGAAUUACCUCAGUCUAUGGCACGUGCACGAGCUCUAGUCAUUGAUCCAUUUGGAGCUUGUGGGGUUGAUGGUGAUGUCUGUAGGGUGCUCUGCACCACCAAAUCCAUGCGAAGAAUGUGUGUAAAUCAUUCCACAAAAAAUAUAGCACAACAAUUAAACAAUUCAAACAAGCCAACAUGAUCCACGACAAAUAAAAUUCAACAAUGCAAAGAUAACCGAUAAAACAAAUGAAUCAAGCGCUUUUGUUGCGCUCGUUGAUGUCUUUGUGCAUGUUGGUGAAGAACAUCUUGGCCUUGUCAUCCAUAAGGCUAGUGUAGGCUAACAUGAUCCUUGACUCGUCGGUGAUCCUCGCAAGCCUCACCUUCUCUCUAUCAAUCUCAAUGCCCCCCUCGCCCUUGCCUUCUGAAGCUCUAUAUGCUCCCAUGCCUUCAUCUUCUCUCGAACCUCUUCCUAUCGACUCCAUCUUAUCCCUUUGAACAUGCAAGUAGAGCUUGUAUCCUUUUUUUUUUCAAUUUGACGCCUUUGUCGGGAAGGAGUUCUUUCCAUGUGGUCGGCAUUUUGCUCGCCACUCCGUCACUCGCGACCCUAUUUUUCUCUCACUUCUUCCUCAUCAUGAUCCCAUUUCUCUCCGAUUCGGUCCCAAGUCUGGUUACCGCUCGACUUGUUUCAUCCUCUUCAUCCAACCCAAUAUAUUGGUGGGGGCUUGAGCCAUCAUUGUUUCCUUCUUCUUUUCAGGGUUCUUGAGAUCUUAAAAGAGGGUUGCCCACUUGGGUCUCCCUUCCAAUUCCAACCAACAAUGCGGCAUAGUGAACGGCUUCUUCUCAAUUAGAUGAGGUAAUAUCAUCGGGAGUCAUAAACUUGCGCUCAAUGUUCAGUUUGGUGCUAAAACUUCUAAAAUACGGAUUUGUGGUCACAUAACUUGUCCCCACAUACAAAUACGGUGCUUCCUCUCGUAUCCAGCCGCAUGGCCUAUCCACAUGGCGUGCCAGAUUGGUGGAGGCCCAUCUGUCAGUGGUUGGGAAUGCACAAGGCGUUAGGUGACAUAGCAGACCGAUUUCUUUAUAGAGAACCCCCUCACAAUUUAUUUAAUUGCGCAUAAAACCAUCAAAUAUAAUAAAAAAUGAUGGCGAUCUCUCAACCUCGAGCAUGGAAGCACAUAAGCUAACUGCUACACUAAGUAUCUAUCGGUGUCUAUAAAGAGAAACACCAAAUUUUAUAUAUUGUCCAUGACAACUACUCGUAUUCACGUUUUUUUUCUCUCGGACUGAAUUUUCGAUAACCGAUUGGUCCCAGAAAAUUCGGUGGUCCCCGGAAAAAUUGAUAUCGCCUGAAAAUUUUGAAUUUAAAUGACAGAAAAUAUGUCAAAUAUAAUAACUUUUGCAUGCAUACAAUAUCAUAUCUAUACCACUACAUAGUACACAUAAUUUUUUGAACUUGGAAGUCCACUGCAGCAUCCCACCAAAUUCCCACUGGAUAGAUCCAAGCCGCCUAUUUGCAAGUUAGGAUUGCUAUCCACCACUCAUCAGAACGCUACUCAACAGAUUGGAUGGUUGAAAAUGAUUGGAUUCGCCAUCAUGCCUUCCCGCGUGCAAACUUCUGUGUUGAAGCCGCUGGACACUUCUGGACAAGUACAUCACGUCAACAAGAAAGUCCGCUAUCUGCGAUUAGUACACGUGAAUUGGGCUUGUGAGCUGGGAGGCCGACAUGGUCAUACACCUCCCAAGAUCAUGUGUAAAUGGAGACAUUAUGGCCUACCGUUCAACCAAUGUACACGGUGACAUUAUCUACAACAAUAGCUUUGUAAAUAAACUACUCCUACGAUAGCUCGCACAAAGAAAAAUAACUCAAUACGGUUGUUGUAGAGACAUGCCAUUUUGUUGUUGUCAAACUGAAAACGUGACUAUUUAAUCAUAUCAAUUUGUUUUCUUGUUGAUAUUAGCAUACAUAGAUUACAAAAAUGUGAGAUCGAUAAAAUGAUAUCAAACUACCAUGCAUUUGACAGUUUGCCUACGGACCACAUUAUCCAUCAAUCGAAUCAUUGGACUUGUAAUGAUUUUUCAAAAAAGAUGUGUCCAUUUCCCCUACAUCACAAAAGGAAUAUAGACUCACACUUACCCCCACGUGAUUACAAAUAUGAGCGAAUGAUUAAAUAUUAUUUGUAAUACAAUAUAAAAAGACUUGAUUGUUCGUCUCAUACCGAACAAAAGAAAAUGUUCACUCCGUAGAAGUUCUCAUUCACGUCACUUUCUUAUUUACUUAAGAAGUAUAACGUGCAUAGCACGUGCAAUUUACUAGUAAUCACAUAGUUAGCUUAGUGGCAGGUCUGUGUUUAUAUUCCCUGUAUUGUGAAAUAUUUUUUUCUUUAUUCAUGCUCAUUUAUAAAAAUGGUCUCGAACUGUAACAAUGAAUUAAACAUGCGAACUUCUAUAUAAGAGAGGAGUCGAGCUGGCCAAUGUAACAGGAAUCACUUUGUUUUUGAUAAACUAAAUAUAUUUAGACGUUAAAAUAUUUGAAUUCAAAACUCAUUUAGAAAUUUUGGUCGAUAAAAAACUGGAACUGCCAAGAUAUUUUGAAACCCGAAUUUUCUAGCCAUUCUCAAAAAGAAUGGAGUCGAAAAAAUUCUCGCUCACGACAACGUUUUGUAUGUUUUGGGUUAUGCAUUAUACAUUUUGACACUUUUUUUUAAGUUGAACAUUUUUGGCGAAAAAAGGUGAGGUUUUCCUGGAUCUAGCUUUUACUGGUCGAACCCAGGAAAAAGGGGAAUUUAGCUAAAAAAUGCAUCUAAUAUAAAAUCAGGCGUGCCUCUUUAUAGGCAGGAAUAUGUAGUCAGUGUAGUGGUUUGCUUGUGCAUGCAUGUACCUGAGGUCUGGAGUUCAAAUUUGUGCGUGUGCACUUUUUAUUCUCCUUUCUCCCUUCACUCAUGCUGACAAAGUGGGACCCAUAGAGGGGCUUAUGCUCAAUUAAAUAAAUUAAGUACAGAGCAGGGGUGCUUCUGCAUAGGAAAAAACGCGCCAAGCUGUUUCAGUCACUAACAGUGGGCCACAACCAUGCUGGCGUGCCACAUAAGCAUGAGAUACGUCUGACUGAAUAUGAGCAACGUGACUGUAUUUGCACGAGAACGCAAGUUGGAUGACCACAAAUCUGUAUUUUUAAAGUUUUAGCACCAAACUGAAUAUCGAGCACAAGUUCUAUGACUCCCGGUGAUGUUACCUCCAAUUAGAUUGUACAAUGUGUCUGCCAACCUCAACUAUAAAAGCCCACAUGUCAAAUAUUGCAAGAUAUGAAACACACAAGAAAAUUGAUAACCAUUGUGGAGCAAACAAAGCGUACAUGGCUUCCAACUGUCAUGCCGCUUUGGUUCCUAUUCACCACUAGAGCAUAGGCACCACAAAACUUAUAAGAAAUUAUUCCAUCGAACGUAGUCCCCUGGAUGCGGGUUUGCCAUCCUUGUUUCUAGUUCUACUGCAUUCCAUCUCAUCGUAUCACUAUUCUAUGACUCCUGUUGUUCAUCGACUCUUGGAUGGUGCCCAUCUAUGCUGGAGAGAGCUUGCAUUGUGAUCACUAUGGACGCUCCACAACCGGAAUCACGGCCAAAAGAACCUAUCCAACCCUUUGAGAAGUUUAGCAUGAAAUGACCAUGUUUGAACCUUAUUUUUUUUUCAACGGUAUGGUUCCUGGCGUUGUUUUUUAGGGGAUCUUGGCGUUGCUGCUGCACUGAGCAACGCCAUAGUCGCCGGCCAUUUCAUACUCCCUCCAUUUCAAAAUAUUGUGCGCCCACGCUUUCUGAGGUCUAACUUUGACCAUAAAUUUAAUCAACGAGACCAACUGCGGUGGGAGAAAAAAUUAUAUAAUUGAAAACUUCUUUUGAAUAUGAAUUCACUGAUAUAAUUUUUACCCCCGCCGUACUUGGUCUUGAUAGUUAAAUUUACGAUCAAAGUUGAAACACGGGGAUAGAGGAAGCACGAGGGAGUACUAAACGUCACACAAAAGGGUAAUUUUGUGAUUUUGGCCCAGAAUCACAUCAUACACGGCCCAACAGUUGGCGUGAGGCUCAGGGUUGCCGGCGCAGACUGUACACGAGCGAGGUUGUAGCGGAUCACUUGCGUCUCCCUCGUCCCGAGUCUCUGUUCACUAGGUCCCGCCUCCUUUCCGGUCCACCACGUGGGUCGAUCUGGACCGGAGACCGCACACCGGCUGUCCGCCAUCGACGACGGAGAGGGCCUGCCGCGGCGGCGGCGGCGGCAACAGCACCCGCCAUGGCUGACGAUACUCCUCCAAAGACGGGUGGCGGAUGCGGACGCGCACGGCCCCGGAGCCCCAGCUCCGCCAUCCUCCGCCGCUCCACCGCCGCCCGCCGUGGAGCCGGCCUCCUCCGGCAUGGCUGAUGAACCUCCUCCAAAGGUGUGCCACUUCAAGGUACGGAUCAUCCCGCCGCGGGGUCCGACGAGCGCGGAUGCGGACGCGCACGGGCCCGAAACCCUAGCUCCGCCUUCCUCCGCCGUUCCACCUCCGCCCGCCGUGGCGCCGGCCUCCUCCGCCCCACGGCAGCCGGAUCCGGCGGACAACCGGUCCCGACGGCCCCGACCCGGCUCGGCUCCUUCCUCAUCCCUCCGCCCUCCUCCCUCCGCCCCGGCUCGGGCGGCCCCGACGCCCGCGGUCACCGGCCCGACGCGGCCUUCCUCCUCGACGUCGUCCCGGCGGAAGUCUGAGCGCGGGAUCGCCAAAACCCUGGAUCCACCGCCCUCCCGCGCCCUGAUGUCUCCAGCGGCUUCGACAGCCAUUCCCACCAUCAACUCGAGAUCUCUCCGACGAACUCCUGCGCGUGCGGCGCGUGCAGCUCAUCUUGAUGCAGCUAGCCAGCACUGCCACGAGGAUGAAGCAGCAACAGAGGUUUGUUUUCUGUUUUCUGUUCUAUGUAUACUACUAUACUUGAAAUCAAUAGGGUUGAAACUUUAGUUAUAUGGCCACCUUAUUAGAUGUGAACCAAUAGAUGCAUCAAGUGAACUCUAACUUGAGAGUCGGGCACUGGGUAUGUUUUCCGUUCUGAUUUCCGUUCUAUCGUACUAUACCGAACACAACGGGGGUAAUAAGGUAAGGAUGUCUCUGCUAAUCAAAGAUGGGAAGGGUAACAUUACACAAGCAACCUUGUAGAUGGAGAGAAGGUAAUCCCAAAUGCUGCUGUUGAAAUGCAUGAUGAAGUGCAUUCAUUAACCCGUCUUAUAGUUGCUUCAGUGAAUAAUUUAAUCACAAUCCAGUUUAUGGUGUGAAAAUUUAAUAUUCUCUAAAUUUAUGUGUGUGAAAAAUUAAUAUUUGUAGAUGGAGAGAAGAUAAUCCCAAAUGCUGCUGUUGAAAUGCACGAUGAAGUGCAUUCAUUAACCCGUAUUAUAGUUGCUUCAGUGAAUAAUUUAAUCACAAUCCAGUUUAUGCUGUGAAAAUUUAAUAUUCUCUAAAUUUAUGUGUGUGAAAAAUUAAUAUUCUCUAAAUUUAUGUGGUAAUUUUGUUAAGGUUAUAUAUACCCCUCCACCUCCUCUUCAUUCGUGGAGAGAGCCAUCAGAACACAUCUACACUUCCAACUCAUAUGUUCUGAGAGAGAACUACCUACCCUUGUGUUGAGGCCAAGAUAUUCCAUUCCUACCAUAUGAAUCUUGAUCUCUAGCCUUCCCCAAGUUGCUUUCCACUCAAAUCUUCUUUCCACCAAAUUCAAAUCCCGUGAGAGAGAGUUGAGUGUUGGGGAGACUAUCAUUUGAAGCACAAGAGCAAGGAGUUCAUCAUCAACACACCAUUUGUUACUUCUUGGAGAGUGGUGUCUCCUAGAUUGGCUAGGUGUCACUUGGGAGCCUCCGACAAGAUUGUGGAGUUGAACCAAGGAGUUUGUAAGGGCAAGGAGAUCGCCUACUUUGUGAAGAUCUACCGCUAGUGAGGCAAGUCCUUCGUGGGCGAUGGCCAUGGUGGGAUAGACAAGGUUGCUUCUUCGUGGACCCUUCGUGGGUGGAGCCCUCCGUGGACUCGCGCAACCCUUACCCUUCGUGGGUUGAAGUCUCCAUCAACGUGGAUGUAGGAUAGCACCACCUAUCCGAACCACGCCAAAAACAUUCUUGUCUCCAAUUGCGUUUGAAUUCUCCAAACCCUUCCCUUUACAUUCUUGCAAGUUGCAUGCUUUACUUUCCGCUGCCCAUAUACUCUUUGCAUGCUUGCUUGAUAUGUAUUGUGUAUGUUGAAAUUGUGCCCAAACUCCACUUAAACCGAAAAAAUUUAAAAGCUGCAACUUUAGUACUAAGUGUCUAAUCACCCCCCUCUAGACACAUCUUCUCAAGAUCCCACAAGUGGUAUCAGAGUUUUGGUCUCCAUUGCCUUGGUUUAAUCACCAUUGGAGGAAGAUGGAUGAGUCUACUUUGGGGAGUCUUAGACAUAGAGUGCCUAUUCUUGAUGGAGAGUAUUUUCAUGAGUGGAAAAAUAAGAUGCUUGUAAUUUUCAAUCAAUAUCAUUUGAACAAGUACAUUGCUAGUCCUUGUGCGCCUCAUGUUGAUCCUAUGCAUCCCACCCUAGAUGAAGAUAUUGACAUGAUUCGCAAUCUUAGAACUGUUGAGCUCAUCAUUAGAGGAUUGCCUAGAAACUUGAUUAGAUGUUUGCCUACUCUUGAGUGUGCUUAUACUAUAUGGAAAUUUCUUGAGGAACGAUUUCCUGAUUAUUCCUUAAAAAAUUUAGAUGAAAUUCUCCAUAAAUCUAUUGCCUUGAGUAAGAUGAACUCUAGUGAUCCUAGUUUCGGCAAUUGUCUAUUUGAGCUUACCAAUCUCAUGCGUGCUAAAGGAAAUGUUGGAAUCAUUAGUGAUAUCAUAUCCGAAGCUAUUAGAAUUCAUAAAGGUAACCACUUUGAUGAUCAUGUAACUAAUGAAUUACCCUCUCUAGGAUAUGAUCAAUCACAAGAUGAUGUUGAACAUGGAUACUAUGAUGAAGAUGAUGAUAGUGACUUCGAUCUUGAUGAUGAAAUGAGACAUUUUGCUCUUAUGGCAAAUCUUCGAGGAUAUGUGUCAGGAGGAAAGGAAUGGCUUCUUGACAAUGGAUGUACUGAUCAUAUGACCGGAGAUGAAGAGAUGUUCCGUGAGCUUGCUGAAAAUGACGGCCCUCGAAAAUAUGUCACCUUCGGUGAUAAUUCAAAGGGUAAGGUGGUUGGCCUUGAUAAGGUGGCCAUCUCACACGAUAGCUCCAUACAAAAUGUCACGCUCAUUGAAUCUCUUGGAUACAACUUACUUUCAGUAUCUAGACUUGCUGAUUUCGGUUUGAAUGUCCUAUUUACUAAGGUAGAUUGCCAAGUGUUUCGUCGAGACAAUCAUAAAAUGGUCUUUACCGGUAUACGUAGAGGUGAUCUUUACAUUGUCAAUUUCUCUAAAAAGGCACAACCUAAAACUUGCUUUAUCGCUAAAUCCUCAAAAGGUUGGUUGUGGCAUAGACGACUAGGUCACGUUGGCAUGAGAAACCUUGACAAGCUUAUUAAAGGAAAUCAUAUCCUUGGAGUUAACGAUGUUAUAUUUGAUGAAGAUAGACUUUGCAGUGCUUGUCAAGCAGGUAAACAGGUUGGAGGAAGGCAUCCCGUGAAGAACAUCAUGACCACAAGGAGGCCACUUGAGCUACUUCAUAUGGAUCUUUUUGGUCCCAACGCUUACAAGAGUCUCGGUGGAAAUUCUUUUGGUCUAGUUAUAGUUGAUGAUUUUUCAAGAUUUACGUGGGUGUUCUUUCUUGAUGACAAAUCGCAGGUCCAAAAGAUCUUCAAAAACUUUGCUAGGAAGGCCCAAAAUCAAUUUGAAGUGAAGAUCAAGAAGGUUCGGAGUGACAACGGAACGGAGUUCAAGAACGCAAAUGUGGACACCUUUCUUGACGAAGAAGGGAUUUCACACGAGUUCUCGGCUACGUACACACCUCAACAAAAUGGAGUUGUUGAGAGGAAGAACCGGACGCUCAUCGAAAUGGCGAGAACGAUGCUUGAUGAGUACAAGACGCCAAAGCACUUUUGGGCAGAAGCGGUUGAGACAGCUUGUCAUGCAACAAAUCGCUUGUAUCUUCACAAGCUACUCGGCAAGACGGCAUACGAGCUUCUCACCGGUAACAAACCCCAAGUUGGAUACUUUCGAGUAUUCGGCUCAAAAUGCUACAUUCUUGAUAAGCAUCAUCGUUCAAAGUUUGCUCCUAAAUCUCAUGAAGGUUUCCUACUUGGUUAUGGCUCAAACUCUCACACUUACCGUGUCUACAACAAUUUCAUCCAAAAGGUUGAAGAGACGGUAGAUGUGAAGUUUGAUGAAUCUAAUGGCUCGCAAGUAGAGCAAUUGCCAAUUGAUGUAGGAUACAAAGACCCUUCAGAAGCAAUCCAAGACUUAUCUAUUGGCAAAAUUCGUCCAAUGGAAAUAAAGGAGAGUACCUCGUCCAUCCAAGCGGAAGCUUCUACAUCACGUCAAGGUGAACCAAGAAUUGACACGGAAGCAUCCACAAGUGGGACACACCCAGAUGAAGAAGACGAGGAAAUGCAUCAAGACGAACGCCAACAACCUCCUUCUCCACCACGACAAGAGAACGACAACGAUGAAGAAGGCCAAGAAGAAGAACAAGAUGAAGAAGAUGUUCAACGAAGACCCAAGCAAAAGCUUUCACGAGUUCGAGCAAGAAUUGCUAAGGACCAUCCCGUCGAGCAAAUCUACAAUGAUAUUCAAACUGGGAGAAUCACUCGCUCAAAAACUCGUUUAGCUAACUUUUGUGAAAACUAUUCAUUCAUCUCUAGCAUUGAACCGAUGAAGGUUGAAGAAGCAUUGGAAGAUCCGGACUGGAUAAACGCUAUGCAUGAAGAGCUACACAACUUUGAGAGAAACCAAGUUUGGACAUUGGUUGAGAAGCCCGACAACAACCACAACAUCAUUGGUACCAAAUGGGUGUUUCGCAACAAGCAAUAUGAAUAUGGACAAGUGGUUCGCAACAAAGCACGUCUCGUCGCCCAAGGGUACACACAAGUCGAAGGUAUGGACUAUGGUGAGACAUAUGCUCCCGUUGCUAGACUUGAGUCCAUUCACAUCUUACUUGCCUAUGCUAAUCACCAUAAUAUCACCUUGUACCAAAUGGACAUUAAAAGUGCUUUUCUAAAUGGUGAAAUAGAGGAGGAAGUUUAUGUCAAACAACCUCCCGGCUUUGUCAAUCCUAAGAAACCAAAUCAUGUUUACAAACUUCAUAAAGCCCUUUAUGGUCUUAAACAAGCUCCUAGAGCAUGGUAUAAAUGCUUGACCAAGUUCCUUAUUGCAAGUGGUUUUGAAAUUGGAAAAAUUGAUUCCACACUUUUUACUAAAAGAGUUAAUGGAGAACUAUUUCUAUGCCAAAUUUAUGUUGAUGAUAUCAUAUUUGGUUCAACUAACCCUCUUUUUAGUGAAAAGUUUGGAAAGCUAAUGUCGAAGAAGUUUGAGAUGUCUAUGAUGAGUGAACUCAAAUUCUUUCUCGGUUUGCAAAUCAAGCAAACUAAGGAAGGUACAUUUGUCUCUCAAACGAAGUACACCAAAGACUUAUUCAAGAAGUUCAAUAUGCAAGAAUGCAAAGGUAUGCCUACACCCAUGCCUACUAGUGGACAUAAUGAUUUGACCAAAGAUGGUGAACCGGUUGAUCAAAAGGUUUAUCGCUCUAUGAUUGGUUCAUUGUUAUACCUAUGUGCUUCACGUCCCGAUAUUAUGCUAAGUGUGUGCAUGUGUGCACGAUAUCAAGCUACUCCUAAAGAAUGUCAUCUUAAGGCCGUGAAAAGGAUAGUGAGAUACUUAAUUCAUACACCAAAUUUUGGCAUUUGGUAUCCUAAGAGGUCUUCUUUUGAUCUUGUUGGUUAUUCCGACUCGGAUUAUGCCGGAGACAAGGUUGAUAGAAAGUCCACUUCGGGUACUUGCCAAUUUCUUGGUAGAUCCCUUGUGUCUUGGUCCUCCAAGAAACAAAACUCAGUAUCCUUAUCCACCGCCGAAGCGGAAUAUAUUGCCGCUGGUUCAUGUUGUGCUCAAUUACUUUGGAUGACCCAAACUCUUAAAGAUUAUGGGAUCUAUGUGAAACAUGUUCCAUUUCUUUGUGACAAUGAAAGUGCUAUCAAAAUUGGUCAUAAUCCUGUACAACAUUCUCGAACUAAGCAUAUUGAAGUUCAUCAUCAUUUCAUUCGAGAUCAUGUUGCUAAGGGUGACAUUGAUCUUAAGCAUGUUCGCAUCGAUAAGCAAUUAGCAGAUAUAUUCACGAAACCACUUGAUGAGAAAGUGUUUUGCAGGUUGAGAGGUGAAUUGAACGUUAUUGAUGCUUCGAACUUGGAGUAGGAACUCCAUUGGAGACAUGCAAGACAUGAGCUUAUGACUAAUCCAUGAUAUAUCUCUUAUGAUGAUUAUCUUAUAUCUUGGACAAAUUUGCAUCUUGCAUGUUAUCUAACCCAUGUAGGUACUUGGUUGAAUCAAAUUCUAUGAGAUUGCAACUCACUCACAUCUUAAGCAAUCUCUACAUCACCAAGUCUCUACACAAUGGUGGUUGAAGACAAGGAAGCACAAAACCAUUCAAACAUAUCCUUUGACAAAUUCUAUGUUGAGCUUCAUGAUUAUCAUUUUUGGAUACAUAAGUGCUCUUCCUUGCAAGAACUAACCCAUGUAGGUAGAUGAACUCGAACUCCAAGUGCUGCUCCCAACUCUUGAUGAACUACAUCAACCUUGAGCACCCACACAAGUUCAACUACAUGAGCAAGAUCCACACCACCACCGAAGGUAUGUUAUUCCAUCUUAGAGAAGCUUUACUCCAAGUCAGGAGUCAAAGCAACUCAACAAGAUGUGAAUACAUCAAGAUGCUUAAAUGAAAAAUGGUAACCCCAUUUUGAGCUUAAACGAUGAGUAUGACCUAUGAUCAAGUGAUCUCACUUGACUCCUAAGUCAAUAUACUCUAACAUAGGUGACUAUGUCACCGCCCAACUCUAGAUGAAGUUCUCUUGUGUUCUUUUCUGUGUUAUUGCAUUUGUCCCUUGCAUAUUUGUUUUCCUUUUUCAAAAAAAAACUUCAUCUAGAAAUUUCAUUCUUUUCUUUUUGUUUUUGUUCUGCAUUUUCUGCAUCAAAUUCAUUGCAAAUCUUUCAGAUAAUUCAUUGCAAAUCUUUGUGAAAUCUUACUUGUCUAGUGAGCUGAGGUGACAAGUGUUUUUCUCUGUGAUGAACUCGGUUUCACCGACUUGUAGUUUUCGGUCCAACCGAAUCCUUUCGGUAUCACCGAAACAUGCCACUCGGUGCCACCGAAUUCACAACAGGAAAAACAGUUUGCCACUUGUUCUAUAUUUCUUCUGAUCCAGCUCCACUCAAUGAAUCUUGUCCUCUACAAGCAUCACAGUUUUAUCCAUUACUUUGUGCUGAGUCUCAAGGACCAAACCCAUUCGACAGAUUCCAGAAAGCCCUUCUUGGAAAUUGAUGUCAAAGGGGGAGAGAGAGAUCACAUCAAAGCUUAUCACCUACAAGAGAGAAUAUUAAGGGGGAGAAAGAGAUCUCCAGGGGGAGAGAAUACUCAAGGACCCCAAAUGCUUGAUGUUCAAGAGGAGAGAUGCCACAUGUCUUUUUGGGGGAAAGACAUGCUCAUAUGUGCUUAUUUGCAUUAAGAUCUAUUCAUUCAUAUCUUUCAGCUCUAUUUUUCUGUUCCCUAUCUUCUCCCAAUAUCCCAUGUCAUAUUCAGGGGGAGCAAGACAUCUAAGGGAAAGAAAUCAUUCAAAUUCAUUGCAUAUCUUUACUCUUGGGGACAUGUCUAAACCAAUGUGGUACCUUGUACUCACUCUCUACAUGUCAUCCCAGUCUUGGUAUUCUUGUGGUUUUCUUUGGUUUGCUCUGGCUAGUGGAUGUACCUGUGUUAUCUAACCUUGUUUGUGCAGGUUCAUUCCAUCCUAAGCAAACUCAAGACUACAAGGUAAGUAUAUGCAUCAAAAUCAUGAGAAUGAGUAAUUCUUGCUUAUGUACAUACUGUUUGCAAGAAGGACUCAUGAGCAUGAAGGUAUUUUUCUUAAUAAUCUUUUGCUCUGAUGCAUAUGGCCAAGAUACAUGUAACACAUUGCCUACUCUGUCAUGGUUAUGCUCUCACAUGCUUCUAUGUUUCAUAUUCACAUGAUUGCAUACAUGUAGGGGGAGCCUAUGUUUGUUACAUGUCCUUCCAAAGCUUUACUUGCUUUUCUUUAUAUCUUAAUCUAAAGCUUUGAUGUAUGUUGCCAUCAAUUACCAAAAAGGGGGAGAUUGAAAGCACAAGUGCUCCCUAGGUGGUUUUGGUAAUUAAUGUCAACAUAUCUCUUGUUGGACUAACACUUUUAUCUAGUAUCUUUCAGAUAAGUUCAACAAUGGAGUGGCAUGGACUAAAGGUUGUGGGAACUCCUUCAAGAUGCUAAGGACAAAGGAUUGGCUAAAGCUUCAAGCUCAAGACUCUUCAUUUUACAUUUUAGUGAUCCAAGAUCACAUUGAGUCUAUAGGAAAAGCCAAUACUAUUAAUAAGGGAUGAGGUGUUGCUUAAUGAGCCUCUUGCUUCAUGUGCUUUGUGAUAUGCUCCAAAACCCUCAGCUACUUUCCCACUUCCACUUUUGACCUAAACCUAAAGUCAAACUCGGCCCUACCGAUUAUCCGGCGCCACCGAGUUUCAUUUGUCAUAGCCACUGCCAAAGCCUGGCAAAUCGGUUUCACCGAUAGGGAUCUCGGUCUCUCCGAGAUGUGAUUGUAAUCUCUGUGUGUAUGUCCAUUACCAAAAUCGGUCUCACCGAGUUUAGGAAAUCGAUACUACCGAGACUACAAAGCAAACUCUCUGGUUAACUUAUUACCAAGAUCGGUCCAACCGAGAUUAGUAAUCGGUCCCACCGAGUUUGCCUGACCAACUCUCUGGUUAGCUAAUUACCAAAAUCGGUCUCACCGAGUUUGUGUAAUCGGUCUCACCGAGAUUACGUUAUGCCCUAACCCUAACCAUAUCGGUCCUACCGAGUUGCAUGUCGGUCCCACCGAAAUCUCUAACGGUCACUAGAUUUACUAAAUCGGUCCGAUCGAGUUUGUUGAUUCGGUCCCACCGAGAUUGGUAAAUUGUGUGUAACGGUUGGAUUUUGUGUGGAGGCUAUAUAUACCCCUCCACCUCCUCUUCAUUCGUGGAGAGAGCCAUCAGAACAUAUCUACACUUCCAACUCAUAUGUUCUGAGAGAGAACUACCUACCCUUGUGUUGAGGCCAAGAUAUUCCAUUCCUACCAUAUGAAUCUUGAUCUCUAGCCUUCCCCAAGUUGCUUUCCACUCAAAUCUUCUUUCCACCAAAUCCAAAUCUUGUGAGAGAGAGUUGAGUGUUGGAGAGACUAUCAUUUGAAGCACAAGAGCAAGGAGUUCAUCAUCAACACACCAUUUGUUACUUCUUGGAGAGUGGUGUCUCCUAGAUUGGCUAGGUGUCACUUGGGAGCCUCCGACAAGAUUGUGGAGUUGAACGAAGGAGUUUGUAAGGGCAAGGAGAUCGCCUACUUUGUGAAGAUCUACCGCUAGUGAGGCAAGUCCUUCGUGGGCGAUGGCCAUGGUGGGAUAGACAAGGUUGCUUCUUCGUGGACCCUUCGUGGGUGGAGCCCUCCGUGGACUCGCGCAACUGUUACCCUUCGUGGGUUGAAGUCUCCAUCAACGUGGAUGUAGGAUAGCACCACCUAUCCGAACCACGCCAAAAACAUCCUUGUCUCCAAUUGCGUUUGAAUUCGCCAAACCCUUCCCUUUACAUUCUUGCAAGUUGCAUGCUUUACUUUCCGCUGCCCAUAUACUCUUUGCAUGCUUUCUUGAUAUGUAUUGUGUAUGUUGAAAUUGUGCCCAAACUCCACUUAAACCAAAAAAAUUUAAAAACUACAACUUUAGUACUAAGUGUCUAAUCACCCCCCUCUAGACACAUCUUCUCAAGAUCCCACACUAGCCAUCUGCAUCCUUCUUCCUCCUCGCGCAAGAACAGAACACCACGCCAUCGCACCGCUCUGCCCAUGCUCUUCGCCAACCUUCCACCCCUUCGGUCACCAUGGCUCCGAAGAUGGUCAAUCUAGACGCGGAAGCGAGGAACGCUGCCAUAGCCAAACAGUGGAGGGAGAAUCUGGUUUUCCUUCCAACGCUGCAGGCUCACGACACUACAAAAAAAUACACUUCCGUGAUGAUACGUGUUUGUCCCAGUAGGUCACGUUUUUUGUCAUGCAUGUACAUCUAUGACGAUUUUAUGACAGAAUCAAGAUAGUCAUACCUGUGCUGUCGUAGAAGUGUUCCAUGACACUAUCAAGAUUAUCAUCACGAAAGUGUCCACUUCCAUGACGAUAAAUCACGCGUCACAGAAUUGCUUUCGUCAAGGGUUACCGACACGUGGCAUCCACCGUAAUGGGUCGCCGUUAAGCUAUCGGGUUCCAAUUUGGAUCCGAUAACCCGUUAACAACCCGGACCAAUGGGGAUUUUCCACGUGUAAAAUUCUCAAUGGCCAGAGUAACCAUGUGUCGGCUCGUCGUUGGGACAUAUGUCAUCCACUCAUUGGACCGAAGGCGCCUAUGAUUCAUCGACACAUGGCAUGGCCCAACAGAGGCCCAUUCCAGUGAAAAGGCCGACCCGUUUAACUUGGUCAAAAGGUAGCGGGCCAGCCCACGGAAAGCCUGUUAACGGUCUGUUCGCAUAUAGCCCAUUUACAGCCUGCUAACUCACGGUGUAGCGGAAUUUGGCCCAGUAGCGUCAUCUGGGCCGUCCAAUAUGAUACCAGCCCAUUGUAACUUCCGGCCCAUGUAUGGCCCAUGACGUCUUUCGGCCCAUAGGAGGCCCUUUGUGUAGGGGAACGUAGCAGAAAUUCAAAAUUUUCUACGCAUCACCAAGAUCAAUCUAUGGAGUCAUCUAGCAACGAGGGAUGAGUGGAUCUACAUACCCUUGUAGAUCGCGCGUGGAAGCAUUCAAGAGAACGGGGUUGAUGGAGUCAUACUCGUCGUGAUCCAAAUCACCGAUGAUCCUAGCGCCGAACGGACGGCACCUCCGCGUUCAACACACGUACGGAGCAGCGAUGUCUCCUCCUUCUUGAUCCAGCAAGGGGGGAGGAGAGGUUGAUGGAGAUCCAGCAGCACGACGGCGUGGUGGUGGAAGUAGCGGGAUUCCAACAGGGCUUCGCCAAGCGCUGCGGGAGGAGGGAGAUGUGUCAUGGGAGGGAGAGGGAGGCGCCAGGGCUCAGGUUGGUGCUGCCCUCCCUUCCCCCCACUAUAUAUAGGGCCAAGGGAGAGGGGGGGGGGCGCAGCCUUGGCCCUUCCUCCAAGGAAGGGUGCGGCCAGGGAGGAGUCCCUCCUCCCCAAGGCACCUCGGAGGUGCCUUCCCCCUUUAGGACUCUUCCUUUUCCUCUUCUCUUGGAGCAUGGGCCUCUUGGGGCUGGUGCCCUUGGCCCAUAUAGGCCAAGGCGCACCCCCUACAGCCCAUGUGCCCCCCCGGGGCAGGUGGCCCCACCCGGUGGACCCCCGGGACCCUUCCGGUGGUCCCGGUACAAUACGGGUGACCCCGAAACUUGUCCCGAUGGCCGAAAUAGCACUUCCUAUAUAUAAUUCUUUACCUACGGACCAUUCCAGAACUCCUCGUGACGUCCGGGAUCUCAUGCGGGACUCCGAACAACUUUCGGGUUACCGCAUACUAAUAUCUCUAUAACCCUAGUGUCACCGAACCUUAAGUGUGUAGACCCUAUGGGUUCGGGAGACAUGCAGACAUGACCGAGAUGACUCUCCGGUCAAUAACCAACAGCGCGAUCUGGAUACCCAUGUUGGCUCCCACAUGUUCCACGAUGAUCUCAUCGGAUGAACCACGAUGUCAAGGACUUAAUCAAUCCCGUAUACAAUUCCCUUUGUCUAUCGGUAUGAUACUUGCCCGAGAUUCGAUCGUUGGUAUCCCGAUACCUUGUUCAAUCUCGUUACCGGCAAGUCUCUUUACUCGUUCCGUAACACAUCAUCCCGUGAUCAACUCCUUGAUCACAUUGUGCACAUUAUGAUGAUGUCCUACCGAGUGGGCCCAGAGAUACCUCUCCGUUUACACGGAGUGACAAAUCCCAGUCUCGAUUCGUGCCAACCCAACAGACACUUUCGGAGAUACCUGUAGUGUACCUUUAUAGCCACCCAGUUACGUUGUGAUGUUUGGCACACCCAAAGCACUCCUACGGUAUCCGGGAGUUGCACAAUCUCAUGGUCUAAGGAAAUGAUACUUGACAUUAGAAAAGCUUUAGCAUACGAACUACAUGAUCUUGUGCUAGGCUUAGGAUUGGGUCUUGUCCAUCACAUCAUUCUCCUAAUGAUGUGAUCCCGUUAUCAACGACAUCCAAUGUCCAUGGUCAGGAAACCGUAACCAUCUAUUGAUCAACGAGCUAGUCAACUAGAGGCUUACUAGGGACAUGGUGUUGUCUAUGUAUCCACAGAUGUAUCUGAGUUUCCUAUUAAUACAAUUAUAGCAUGGAUAAUAAACGAUUAUUAUGAACAAGGAAAUAUAAUAAUAACUAUUUAUUAUUGCCUCUAGGGCAUAUUUCCAACAGUCUCCCACUUGCACUAGAGUCAAUAAUCUAGUUCACAUCGCCAUGUGAUUAACACUCACAGGUCACAUCGCCAUGUGACCAACAUCCAAAGAGUUUACUAGUGUCACUAAACUAGUUCACAUCAUCAUGUGAUUAAGACUCAAUGAGUUCUGGGUUUGAUCAUGUUUUGCUUGUGAGAGAGGUUUUAGUCAACGGGUCUGCAACAUUCAGAUCCGUAUGUACUUCGCAAAUUUCUUAUGUCAUCUUGUAGAUGCAACUGCUACACUACAUUUGGAGCUAUUCCAAAUAACUGUUCUACUAUACGAAUCCAGUUUACUACUCACAAUAAUCUGGAUUAGUGUCAAAGUUUGCAUCGGCGUAACCCUUUGCGACGAACUCUUUUACCACCUCCAUAAUUGAGAAAAUUCCUUAGUCCACUAGUUACUAAGGAUAACUUUGACCGCUGUCCUGUGAUCCAUUCUUAGAUCACUCUUGUACCCCUUGACUGACUCAUGGCAAGGCACAUUUCAGGUGCGGUACACAACAUAGCAUACUGUAGAGAGCCUAUGAUAAAAGCAUAGGGGACGACCUUCGUCCUUCCUCUUUCUUCUGCCGUGGUCAAGCUUUAAGUCUUAACUUCAUACCUUACAACUCAGGCAAGAACUCCUUCUUUGACUGAUCCAUCUUGAACACCUUCAAGAUCAUGUCAAGGUAUGUGCUCAUUUGAAAGUACCAUUAAGCGUUUUGAUCUAUCCUUAUAGAUCUUGAUGCUCAAUGUUCAAGUAGCUUAAUCCAGGCUUUCCAUUGAAAAACACUUUCCAAAUAACCCUAUAUGCUUUCCAGAAAUUCUACGUCAUUUCCGAUCAACAAUAUGUCAACAACAUAUAUUCAUCAGAAAUUCUAUAGUGCUCCCACUCACUUCUUUGGAAAUACAAGUUUCUCAUAAACUUUGUAUAAACCCAAAAUCUUUGAUCAUCAUCAAAGCAUACAUUCCAACUCUGAGAUGCUUACUCCAGUCCCUAGAAGGAUUGCUGGAGCUUUGCAUACUUAUUAGCAUCUUUCAGGAUUGACAAAACCUUCCGGUUUGUAUCACAUACAACCUUUCCUCAAAAAACAUCGAGGAAACAAUGUUUUGACAUCCUAUCUGCAAGAUUUCAUAAAUAAUGUAGUAGUCGCUAAUAUAAUUCCAACAGACUCUUAGCAUCGCUACGAGUGAGAAAGUCUCAUCGUAGUCAACUCCUUGAACUUGUCGGAAAACAUCUUAACGACAAGUCGAGCUUUCUUAAUGGUGACAUUUACCAUCAUUGUCCGUCUUCCUUUUAAAAUCCAUCUGCACUCAACAGCCUCAUGACCAUCGAGCUGUUCUGUCAAAGUCUACACUUUGUUUCCAUACAUGGAUCCUCUCUCGGAUUUUAUGGCCUCGAGCCAUUUAUCGGAAUCCGGGCCCACCAUUGCUUCUCCAUAGCUCGUAGGUUCAUUGUUGUCUAGCAACAUGACUUCCAAGACAGGAUUACGUACCACUCUGAAGUAGUACGCAUCCUUGUCAUCCUACGAGGUUUGGUAGUGACUUGGUCUGAAGUUUCAUGAUCACUAUCAUAAGCUUCCACUUCAAUUGGUGUAGGUGCCACAGGAACAACUUCCUGUGCCCUGCCACACACUAGUUGAAGAGACGGUUCAAUAACCUCAUCAAGUCUCCACCAUCCUCCCACUCAAUUCUUUCGAGAGAAACUUUUCCUCGAGAAAGGACCCGAUUCUACAAACAAUCCCUUAUUGCUUUCGGAUCUGAGACAGGAGGUAUACCCAACUGUUUUGGGUGUCCUAUGAAGAUGCAUUUAUCCGCUUUGGGUUCGAGCUUAUCAGCCUGAAACCUUUUCACAUAAGCGUCGUAGCCCCAAACUUUUAAGAAAUGACAGCUUAGGUUUCCCUAAACCAUAGUUCAUACGGUGUCAUCUCAUUGGAAUUACGUGGUGCCCUAUUUAAAGUGAAUGCGGUUGUCUUUAAUGCCUAACCCAUAAACUAUCGUGGUAAUUCGAUAAGAGACAUCAUGGUAUGCAUCAUAUCCAAUAGGGUGCAGUUAUGAUGUUCGGACACACCAUCAUACUAUGGUGUUCCAGGCUGUAUUAGUUGUGAAACAAUUUCCACAAUGUCUUAAUUCUGUGCCAAACUCGUAAUUCAGAUAUUCAUCUCUAUGAUCAUAUCAUAGAUCUUUUAUCCUCUUGUCACGACGAUCUUUCAACUUCACCCUGAAAUUACUUGAACCUUUCAAUAAUUCAGACUUGUGAUCCAUCAAGUAAAUAUACUCAACAUCUACUCAAAUCAUCUGUGAAGUAAGAACAUAACGAUAUCCACUACAUGCCUCAACACUCAUUGGAUUGCACACAUCAAAAUGUAUUACUUCCAACAAGUUGCUUUCUAGUUCCAUUUUACUGAAAACGAGGCUUUCAGUCAUCUUGCCCACGUGGUAUGAUUUGCAUGUCUCAAGUGAUUCAAAAUCAAGUGGGUCCAAACGGUCCAUUUGCAUGGAGUUUCUUCAUGCAUAUACACCAAUAGACAUGGUUCGCAUGUCUCAAACUUUUCAAAAAUGAGUGAGCCCAAAGAUCCAUCAACAUGGAGCUUCUUCAUGCGUUUUAUACCGAUAUGACUUACGUGGCAGUGCCACAAGUAGGUGGUACUAUCAUUACUAUCUUUUGGCAUGAACAUGUGUAUCACUACGAUCGAGAUUCAAUGAACCAUUCAUUUUAGGUGCAAGACCAUUGAAGGUAUUAUUCAAAAAAAAAAAACAGAGUAACCGUUAUUCUCCUUAAAUGAAUAACCGUAUUGCGAUAGACAUAAUCCAAUCAUGUCUAUGCUCAACGCAAACACCAAUCUCGAUGGUAGAGGGAGCGUACGAUAUUUGAUCAACCUUGGAAAUACUUCCAACACAUAUCGUCAUCUCACCUUUUAGCUAGUCUCCGUUUAUUCCGUAGCUUUUAUUUCGAGUUACUAACACUUAGCAACCAAACCAGUAUCUAAUACCCUGGUGCUACUAGGAGUACUAGUAAAGUACACAUUAACACAAUGUAUAUCCAAUAUACUUCUAUCGACCUUGCCAGCCUUCUCAUCUACCAAGUAUCUAGGGUAAUUCUGCUCCAGUGGCUGUUCCCCUUAUUAUAGAAGCACUUAGUCUUGGGUUUGGGUUCAACCUUGGGUUCGUUUCAUGAAGCAUCCCUUUUUGCCCUUGCCCUUCUUGAAACUAGUGGUUUCACCAACCAUCAACAAUUGAUGCUCCUUCUUGAUCUCUACUUUUGUGGUGUCAAACAUAGCGAAUAUCUCAAGGAUCAUCAUAUAUGUCCCUGAUAUAUUAUAGUUCAUCACGAAGCUCAAGCAGCUUGGUGGUAAUGACUUCGAAGAAACAUCACUUUCUCAUCUGGAAGAUCAACUCCCACUCGAUUCAAGUGAUUGUUGUACUCAGACAAUCUGAGCACCAGUUCAACAAUUGAGCUUUUCUCCCUUAGUUUGCAGGCUAAGAAAAUCGUCGGAGGUCUUAUACCUCUUGACGCGGGCACGAGCCUGAAAUCCCAAUUUCAGCCCUCGAAACAUCUCAUAUGUUUCGUGACAUUUCAAAACCGUCUUCGGUGCCUCAAUUCUAAACCGUUUAACUGAACUAUCACGUAGUUAUCAAAAUGUGUAUGUCAGAUGUUCGCAACAUCCACAGACGACGUUCGAGGUUCAGCACACUGAGCGGUGCAUUAAGGACAUAAGCCUUCUAUGAAGCAAUGAGGAAAAUCCUCAGUUUACGGACCUAGUCCGCAUAAUUGCUACUAUCAACUUUCAACUAAAUUUUCUCUAGGAACAUAUCUAAACAGUAGAACUAAAGCGCGAGCUUCGACAUAAUUUGCGAAGACCUUUUGACUAUGUUCAGGAUAAUUAAGUUCAUCUUAUGAACUCCCACUCAGAUAGACAUCCCUCUAGUCAUCUAAGUGAUUACAUGAUCCGAGUCAACUAGGCCGUGUCCGAUCAUCACGUGAGACGGACUAGUCAACAUCGGUGAACAUCUUCAUGCUGAUCGUAUCUACCAUAUGACUCAUGCUCGACCUUUCGGUCUUCUGUGUUCCGAGGCCAUGUCUGUACACAUGCUAGGCUCGUCAAGUCAACCUAAGUGUUUCACGUGUGUAAAUCUGUCUUACACCCGUUGUAUGUGAACGUUAGAAUCUAUCACACCCGAUCAUCACGUGGUGCUUCGAAACAACGAACUGUCGCAACGGUGCACAGUUAGGGGGAACACUUUCUUGAACUUUUAAUGAGGGAUCAUCUUAUUUACUACCGUCGUUCUAAGUAAACAAGAUGCAAAAACAUGAUAAACAUCACAUGCAAUCAAAUAGUGACAUGAUAUGGCCAAUAUCAUAUAGCUCCUUUGAUCUCCAUCUUGGGGCUCCAUGAUCAUCUUCUCACCGGCAUGACACCAUGAUCUCCAUCAUCAUGAUCUCCAUCAUCGUGUCUUCAUGAAGUUGUCUCGUCAACUAUUACUUCUACUACUAUAGCUAACAGUUAGCAAUAAAGUAAAGUAAUUACAUGACGUUUAUGUUGACACGCAGGUCAUAAAUAAAUUAAGACAACUCCUAUGGCUCCUGCCGGUUGUCAUACUCAUCGACAUGCAAGUCGUGAUUCCUAUUACAAGAACAUGAUCAAUCUCAUACAUCACAUAUAUCAUUCAUCACAUCCUUUUGUCCAUAUCACAUCACAUAGCAUACCCUGCAAAAACAAGUUAGACGUCCUCUAAUUGUUGUUUGCAUGUUUUACGUGGCUGCUAUGGGUUUCUAGCAAGAACGUUUCUUACCUACGCAAAAACCACAACGUGAUAUGUGUAAUGCCCUCGAUGCGGCUAUAGCUCCCACGUGUCGAGGCACGGCUUAGAGGCAUAACCGCAUUGAAAGCAAUGUCGCAAGUCAGGCAAUCAUUACAACAUCCCAUGUAAUACAUAAUAAAAAGGGGGAGAUAACAUAGUUGGCUUACACUCGCCACGUCACAUCAGAGUACAUAAAUAACAUCCAUCAAACAAGCACUCAUGGCCCGACUACGGCGCCAAAAUAGAAAAGACCCCCAACAUGCGACAAGGUCCUGAAUCGAUAACCCCAACUAGGCACCACUACUGAUCAUCCGGAAAAGAAACAUAGUAUCGCUGAGAGUCCUCGUCGAACUCCCACUUGAGCUCGUACUCGUCACCUGGAGCGGACUCACCUGGACCUGCAUCUGGAGUUGUAGUAUCUGUGAGCCACAGGGACUCAGCAAUCUCACACCCACGCGAUCAAGACUAUUUAAGCUCAUAGGAAUGGAUAAGGCCAAUAUGUGUGGAGCUGCAGCAAGCGACUAGCAUAUGUGGUGGCUAACUUAUACGCAAAAGAGAGCGAGAAGAGAAGGCGAAGCACGAGCGAGAAGCUAAAGGAACAUCCUGCGCAAGCAUAACUCCAACACCGUGUCCACUUCCCGAACUCCGCCGAGAAGGGGCCAUCACGGUAACACACACGGUUGAUUCAUUUUAAUUAAGUUUAAUUAAAGUUAUCUACAACCGGACAUUAACAAAUUCCCAUCUGCCCAUAACCGCGGGCACGGCUUUCGAAAGAUCAAUCCCUGCAGGGGGGUCCCAACUUAGCCCAUAACAAGCUCUCACGGUCAACGAAGGAAUAGACCUCCACCCAAGACACACCGAUCAGACUCGGUAUCUCGGUACAACAAGAUGAUUCGGCAGGUUAAAACAAGUCCAGCAACACCGCCCGAAUGUGCCGACAAAUCCCGAUAGGAGCUGCACAUAUCUCUUUCUCAGGGCACGCUCGGAUAGGUCAAGCUACGAGUAAAACCAAACCUCAAGUUUCCCCGAGGUGGCCCCGCAGGCUGCCUGGUUCGGACCAACACUCAGAGGAGCACUGGCCCGGGGGGGGUUAAAAUAAGAUGACCCUCGGGCUCCGGAAACCCAAGGGAAAAAUAGGCUAGGUGACAAAUGGUAAAACCAAUGUUGGGCAUUGCUGGAAAAGCUUUAAUCAAGACGAACUAUCAAGGGGUUCCCAUUAUAGCCCAACCGUGUAAGGGACGCAACAUUCCGGGAACAUAACACCGAUAUGACGGAAACUAGGGCGGCAAGAGUGGAACAAAACACUAGGCGAGAGGCCGAGCCUUCCACCCUUUACCAAGUAUAUAGAUGCGUUAAGAUAACAUAGCAAUAUAAUGAUAUCCCAACAAGCAAUAUAAAUGUUCCAACAAGGAACGGCUCCAAUCUUCACCUGCAACUAACAACGCUAUAAGAAGGGCUGAGCAAGCGGUAACAUAGCCAAUCAACGGUUUGCUAGGACAAAGGUGGGUUAGAGGUUCAACAUGGCAAUUGGGAGGCUGACAAGCAAAAGGUAGGCAUCGAAGCAGUGGCAAGCAAAAGAGCGAGCAAACUAGCAUAGCAAAGAUAGUAGUGAUUUCGAGGGUAUGAUCAUCUUGCUUGCACAGUUGUCAGAGUUGACUGGAUCCUCACAAGCAAACUCAACGGGCUCCUCGGUAGCGAACUCGUCUCCCGGCUCUACCCAAAGACAAACAAGCAACAAGGACACAAUCAACCACGGGCAAGACCAAGCAACAUGAUGAAAUGACGAUAUGCUAUGCGGGAUGCGAUGCGGGAUGCAAAAUGCAAGAUAUGACAGGAAAUGCAUGAACCUGGCAUCAACUUGGAAAACCAAGUGUGCCACUGGAUAGAGGGGAUGAAAUCGCUUGAAAACGAUAUAAAGAUCAUAGGAAUCGGAGCUACGGUUUGGAAAUGGCAAGCGUUUUAAGAUAUGACACCGGUCUGCGAUUUAUAGCAAGUAGGCAUCUAAAUGCAACGAAAAGAACAUGCUACAGCCACCAAACAUGAAAACAAAAUAUAUGGCAGUGAUGUACACAAGAUGGUUGACAAAACACUAGCACUGAGCCAUAGGCAAAUUCAUCCAUUAAGAGGUUCAAACAAGCAUGGCUAAAACGCAAAUGCAAAACAGAUUUCAGACUUAGUGAAAUUAACACUAGUCUGAAAUUUCAGACCACGAAGCCCUCUUCGGAGCAGCAAAACAACAUGAUAGAAAACCUGAACAUGACAAGUAAGAACAUGGCAUGGAGCUACUCAACAAGCUUAACAAAACACCCAAAGUGACCUGGGGCCAAAAGGGUUCACAAAAUACUCUACCGAGCUCACGAACAUCGCUCGAACACAAUCAGUUUUCAGACUUAGUGAAAACUGAGACAUGCUGAAAUUUAACUCACGAAGGCAUGUAAACGAGCUCGAUGCACUCACUACGGUGCAAGUCAUGGCAAGGAAAGCAUAUCACCAGCAAGAAGGCACAAAGUUCUAGCUACACAUGGCAGGAACGAAGGCAUAGCAUGCAUGGAACGCUAACGGUAGCAUCGGCGAAAUCGCAAACAAGUUGACGAUCUGCCCAGAUUAACAAUGAAGCAAAAGUUGAGCUCGAUUGAGUCAACCUAGAGCACUCCACAAAUGCAAACAAAGACAUGGAUGGAUAGAGCAUAACAUAAAUAUCAAAACUCCCUUACUGAUCAUCCUCAAAAGAGGCACGGAUCACUAGGAAACAAGCUGGACAUAUAGCAUCAUGAACUAAAAUAUCCCAGACUUAGCGAAAAUCGCUAAGUCCCUGAAAUCUGCAAUCUCAGGUACCUCUCUUCGCAAGCUUGCACAAGACAACACACACAUCCUAAAAAUGCAUGGGUGGCACCUCUGGAAAGAAGACAAAAUGCUUCCCAAUUCAUCCCAAAGGGGCACAGGCAUAUCAUGCACGAAUUAAAUAUAGCAAAAAUGACAAAAGUGCAUGAUGAACUAANNNNNNNNNNNNNNNNNNNNNNNNNNNNNNNNNNNNNNNNNNNNNNNNNNNNNNNNNNNNNNNNNNNNNNNNNNNNNNNNNNNNNNNNNNNNNNNNNNNNUUGGUGGGUUUUGGGCCAAAUUUGGGGGGUGUUGGGCUGCAACACACACGAGGCCUUUUCGGUCCCUCGGUUAACCGUUGGAGUAUCAAACGAAGUCCAAAUGACCCGAAACUUGACAGGCGGUCUACCGGUAGUAAACCAAGGCCGCUUGGCAAGACUCGGUCCAAUCCGGAAAUGUUUAAACCCCACACGAGAAAGAAAGGUAGAAAUGACCACCGGAGGAGAACGAAACGCCGGAAUGCAAAACGGACAACGGGGAAAAUGCUCGAAUGCAUGAGACGAACAUGUAUGCAAAUGCAAUGCACGUGAUGACAUGAUAAGAGAUGCACGAAAAAGAAAACAACACACGGAGACAAAGACCCAAACCCGAGAAAUAAAUAUAACUUAGCGCCGGAGACGGCAAGAGUUGGAUACAAAAAAUGGAAAGUAUAUCUGGGGCGUUACAAUAUGCCAAUUUCUAUUUACCCUUCAUAAGGACCCUUUUCAUCGAAUCCGAUCCGACUAAAGUGGGAGAGACAGACACCCGCCAGCCACCUAAUGCAACUAGUGCAUGUCAGUCGGUGGAACCGGUCUCACGUAAGCGUACGUGUAAGGUUGGUCUGGGCCGCUUCAUCCCACGAUUCUGCCGAAUCAAGAUAAGACUAGUAACGGCAAGCAUAUUGAACAAAAUCAAUGCCCACAACUACUUUGUGUUCUACUCGUGCAUAGAAACUACGCAUAGACCUAGCUCAUGAUGCCACUGUAGGGGAACGUAGUAGAAAUUCAAAAUUUUCUACGCAUCACCAAGAUCAAUCUAUGGAGUCAUCUAGCAACGAGGGAGGAGUGGAUCUACAUACCCUUGUAGAUCGCGCGCGGAAGCAUUCAAGAGAACGGGGUUGAUGGAGUCGUACUCAUCGUGAUCCAAAUCACCGAUGAUCCUAGCGCCGAACGGAUGGCACCUCCGCGUUCAACACACGUACGGAGCAGCGACGUCUCCUCCUUCUUGAUCCAGCAAGGGGGGAGGAGAGGUUGAUGGAGAUCCAGCAGCACGACGGCGUGGUGGUGGAAGUAGCGGGAUUCCAACAGGGCGUGGUGGUGGGAGGAGGGAGAUGUGUCAUGGGAGGGAGAGGGAGGCGCCAGGGCUCAUGUUGGUGCUGCCCUCCCUUCCCCCCACUAUAUAUAGGGCCAAGGGAGAGGGGGGGGGGGCACAGCCUUGGCCCUUCCUCCAAGGAAGGGUGCGGCCAGGGAGGAGUCCGUCCUCCCCAAGGCACCUCGGAGGUGCCUUCCCCCUUUAGGACUCUUCCUUUUCCUCUUCUCUUGGCGCAUGGGCCUCUUGGGGCUGGUGCCCUUGGCCCAUAUAGGCCAAGGCGCACCCCCUACAGCCCAUGUGCCCCCCGGGGCAGGUGGCCCCACCCGGUGGACCCCCGGGACCCUUCCGGUGGUCUCGGUACAAUACCGGUGACCCCGAAACUUGUCCCGAUGGCCGAAAUAGCACUUCCUAUAUAUAAUUCUUUACCUCCGGACCAGUCCGGAACUCCUCGUGACGUCCGGGAUCUCAUCCGGGACUCCGAACAACUUUCGGGUUACCGCAUACUAAUAUCUCUAUAACCCUAGCGUCACCGAACCUUAAGUGCGUAGACCCUACGGGUUCGGGAGACAUGCAGACAUGACCGAGAUGACUCUCCGGUCAAUAACCAACAGCGGGAUCUGGAUACCCAUGUUGGCUCCCACAUGUUCCACGAUGAUCUCAUCGGAUGAACGACGAUGUCAAGGACUUAAUCAAUCCCGUAUACAAUUCCCUUUGUCUAUCGGUACGAUACUUGCCCGAGAUUCGAUCGUCGGUAUCCCGAUACCUUGUUCAAUCUCGUUACCGGCAAGUCUCUUUACUCGUUCCAUAACACAUCAUCCCGUGAUCAACUCCUUGAUCACAUUGUGCACAUUAUGAUGAUGUCCUACCGAGUGGGCCCAGAGAUACCUCUCCGUUUACACAGAGUGACAAAUCCCAGUCUCGAUUCGUGCCAACCCAACAGACACUUUCGGAGAUACCUGUAGUGUACCUUUAUAGCCACCCAGUUACAUUGUGACAUUUGGCACACCCAAAGCACUCCUACGGUAUCCGGGAGUUGCACAAUCUCAUGGUCUAAGGAAAUGAUACUUGACAUUAGAAAAGCUUUAGCAUACGAACUACAUGAUCUUGUGCUAGGCUUAGGAUUGGGUCUUGUCCAUCACAUCAUUCUCCUAAUGAUGUGAUCCCGUUAUCAACGACAUCCAAUGUCCAUGGUCAGGAAACCGUAACCAUCUAUUGAUCAACGAGCUAGUCAACUAGAGGCUUACUAGGGACAUGGUGUUGUCUAUGUAUCCACACAUGUAUCUGAGUUUCCUAUUAAUACAAUUAUAGCAUGGAUAAUAAACGAUUAUUAUGAACAAGGAAAUAUAAUAAUAACUAUUUAUUAUUGCCUCUAGGGCAUAUUUCCAACACUUUGUAACUCUGGGCCCAUUAAAGGCCCAAGAUGAAACUGGCCCAUAAUGAAUAGUGUAUCGCUUUAUACCCAUUAACGACCCAUCAUUCCGUCGGCCGUUUCCAGCCCGUGUUAACUUUCGGCCUUCUAAGGUCCCAUUUAUUAUUUGGCUCAUUUCUAGAAUUCGGUUAGUUACGGUCCAUUACUGGCCUGUUCCGUUUGUGGGCCAAAUUCAGCCCGUGGUUACAUUCGGCCCGUUUGUGGCCCGUUAACCCAUUGGGCUAUUUUCAUAGCGUUAUCAAAUAUGGCCUAUUAACGACCCAUUAUGGUCCACGAAUAGUACGACCCAUGUUUGGCGAAAUGAUUAUACGCCCCGUAGAAGGCCCAUGGAUCGUACGGCCCGUAGAAGGCCAAUGGAUACUACGGCCCGUAGAAGGCCCAUGGAUCCUACGGCCCGUAAGAAGGCCCAUGGAUCCUACAGCCCGAAGAAGGCCCAUGGAUCCUAUGACCCGCAGGAGGCCCAUGGUUACAACAGUCCGUGUGUUGGCAUGGUUAUUGUGGCCUAGUUACCAAAAGUAGGUUAUUGUGGCCACUAGAAAAACAAGGAAAAAGAACUGCAGUGACUACAAGCAAACAACUAAACAAGACAAUAAGGAAAUAAAUAAGCAAGCAACUAACGCUAGGCUAUUACGGCUAUUACACAUAUUACAUCCACUGGGCAUCAUAGUUCGCCACCAGUGCAAAUAUAGGGAACAAAGCAACAUAUUACAUACACAGGCCGUCUAAAUUGGCCACCAGUGCAAAUAAACGCGGCUGCAAAACAAUCCCAUAACUAAAACAACUUCAGAAGAGCUCAAGAAACGUUAUCCUGGGUAUCCACCAUGCUGGCAAUAAGCUUAGAAAGCUUAUUAGCUUUGUCCUGUCUGGCGCUAAAAUCCUCCAACGCUUGCUAUUGCACUAGAAAGUAUGCAUCUGAAUGCUCCAGGGACUUCUGCAGUCCUUCCGCUUUUUGUCGCAGCCCAACUGAUCGAUGUCUUUCAGCUUGAAGUUGAGACUCAAGAACCCGAACUAAUUCAGACAGUGAGCUUGAAUAGCUUGUGCCAGCGGUAGUGGCCAGUAACUCAAACACUAAACCAAGACAUGACUUUGGGGUUGUCUCACUAUCUUCAAGAUAGUUUUCCUUAGAUGUUUUAUCAGCUUUGUUGGAGACCAACAAGGAUGUCUCACUAUCCUGAACCUUAUCCACAUUACUUCCUUUAUCGUUGCUUAAUAAGGCACUCUUCCCCAAUAUUCUGUCAGCAUUCUAAAAGGAGAAACAAGCAGACUCAUAACAGGUUUAACAUGUACUAGUAUAUGAAACUCAUUUUGGUGAACCAGUUCAUUAGUAAGGUGGACAAGAUUAAACUACCAAGUCUUCUAUUGCCAAGUAGUACAUUAUAAAAGCAUCAAACAAACAUAUAUCUAUGUCCUAUGGUCACUGCAUUGUCUUGCCAAAUCAAAAUAGAGACACGGUUCAAAUCAUAUUAGUUCAAGAGAAAGCAACACUGAAAGAAUAUAAAGCGUGGGAAACUACAUGGCACAACAAGAUUUUAGAUGGGUACCACGGGUCUACAUGUACAACAACACUAUUGGCUCUGUUGUGACGCUAGUAAUGUGCAUGAUAUGAGAAGUCAACUGUAUACACAAUUGAAAUUGAAAUCAACGGAGCUAUUUAUAAGAGAAAACCUAUUAAAGAAACAUGCGUAAAUAUACCUGUUAUGCCAUUGGAGUUUCGAUUGGAUCCUUCAAUUUAAAAAUAAGUUUGUAUGAGUAAAUACAGUGAUACAAGAGCAAAGCGGUAUGCACGAUAGCAAUGGAAUCUUAAAUGAGAACAUGUGCUCUUCAGGUUUAAGCACUUGUUCUACAUGAACAGAGUACAGUAAGAUGCAAGCAUAUAGUACUUAAAAAAAGAGCUCACAGACCUUACCACAUUCUUGGUUCGAGACCAGUAUAGAACAAGGCGUUCCCAGCCAUCGUCCAGUAAAUGUGUCUCAGGAGAACAUAAGGGAAUUUGAUGAGUUUCUUUGCCAGUGAAGUACGUUUUCUUCAGGUAAUUCCGAUACUGCCACCAAGCAUUCUUGAAGAUAGCAGAGGUAUUAGCACAGGUUACCUCAUCCCGAGUUUCCAAAUCGGUCCUUCUCUAUAGGGAAAAAUUGGAAAAUUUGCUGUAUAUAACCAUCACGGAGGUAGAAUGUAUGGGACAAAGCAAAGUAAUUGCCAUGAAUAACAUUACUUACACAUAACUCCUGGACAAACACCUGCAACUGGCAUUUUCCUUCAUCUUCAAUAUAAUAUUUCCAUGAUGGGAAGAUACACACAUAGGAUUUAACAACAUCAAAUGCGAUAGAUGCUAAACUGCGAAUGAGUGGUUGUGCUUCCUCCACAGGAAUAGGUGUACUAACUAGUGGAGUUGGGGUUCGCCAUGGUAGUACUGGCGCUUUGGGCACUGGAGCUACCUUACUAACUGCUCUUGUUUGGGAGCUCUAUGGUGGAGAUGGUGCUGUGUCAAUAGGAACUGGGUUACUAUCUGCUGGGGUUGGGGUUAGAUUGGGUGAAGUUGGUUCUCUGUCCACUGCAAUAGGGGUACAAUCUGCGGGAGUCUGGGUUAUGUGUGGUAGGGCUGGUUCUCGUGCAUGUACAACCGGGGUGCUAUCUCCACCAAGAGGUAGCACUAUUUUAUUUGAAGACCGUGUUUUUACUCCGCUAGAUACUGCCAUCACCCACUCCAAUCCAAAUGGCUGAUAAACAGGAAACAUAGUUGAAUGUACAGACAUUGUAUGAGAGACAGAUGCAAUAGAUAGUGUGGAAAAAAAGGCAUGAAAUAGUUGACAUGUAUAUUGUUUAACUAAAACAGAUAGCAUGACAUAAGUUCACAUAUAUGAUGUCUGUCUAAACUGGAUAGCAUAGCAUAACAUAAUUCAAAGAUAUGAUGACUAACUAAACAUGAUUGCAUGACAUAAUUCACAUACAUGUUAUCUAAGUAAUUAGGAUCGCAUGAUUUAAUUCACAGAUGUGAUUUAUAUGCUAAGCAGAGGGCAUUCGCAUAUAUGAUGUCUGAACUAAGAAUAUGGUGUUGAAUAUUGUGUAUAUGAUGUCUAAACUAUGCAAUGAAAGACACCAUAUGCAUGAUAUGAGCAGUAUAACCAUGCCAAGUUAGAGCAUACACCUCGGUGGGGGAAUAGGACUGGCCAUCUGUCUCUGAAUCCAUCUCUGAGGAGCUAUCGGGACCCAGCAAGAGAUCUGCUUCGACAGGUAGCACUGUAUGCUCUGAAGGCCUUGUUUUCACUCCAGAUUUUCCAUCACCCACUCAAAUGGUUGAUUCACAGGAAGAGUAGUUUAAUGUACAAACAUUGUCGACAAAUGGAAAUGUAAUGAAGAAAAGGAUGGGCAAGAUAUUAUUCAAAUAUAUGAUGCCUAGUUAAACAGGAUGGCAUUGCACAUUUCACAUAUAUUAUGGCUGGCUAAAACACAUGAGACUGCAUAAUUCCAUAUAUGAUAUAGAAACUAAAAAUGUGGCAUUACAGAACAUGUCUAAACUAGGCAGAUGACAUAUAUGAUAUCGAAAGUAGGCACUGCAAGCCAACAUAUGCAUGAUAUGACUAACAUCAUCAUGCCAAGUUAGAGCAAACACCUUGGUGGGUAAAUAGGAGUGGUCAGCUGCGUUUGAAUCCGCCUCAUAACAGAUAUCUUCCUNNNNNNNNNNNNNNNNNNNNNNNNNNNNNNNNNNNNNNNNNNNNNNNNNNNNNNNNNNNNNNNNNNNNNNNNNNNNNNNNNNNNNNNNNNNNNNNNNNNNNNNNNNNNNNNNNNNNNNNNNNNNNNNNNNNNNNNNNNNNNNNNNNNNNNNNNNNNNNNNNNNNNNNNNNNNNNNNNNNNNNNNNNNNNNNNNNNNNNNNNNNNNNNNNNNNNNNNNNNNNNNNNNNNGGGGGAGGGGGGAGGGUUUGCCAUUGAACCCACCAUGGAGCGAUGUCUGCAUGACAUUGUAUUGCCGUACAAAACUCUUCUCUUUUCCUCUACAUGUUCAGCAUGACUGUGUACAAUAUCUGACAUGCAUACAAAAAAUACAUUGAGAUUAUGUAAGGAGAGCAUGCAGAAAUCUAGAGUGAGGGUAACAACCAGUAGAUGGAUCCAAAAAUAAUGAUAGCAGGCUGAUGAUUGCUUUAAUUUAAUAAAAAGACAGAUGAUGAUUGAUUUACUAUUUGUUUCCCACCCAAGAUGAACAACAUAGGCAUACCCUAGGUGAACCAGAUAUUAGACAUAGAUACUAUUCAUUCCUGCCUCGAUAUGUGCCCCACAACUAAUUUAGAACUCAAGUUUGAACAUUAAUUUAGACCUGAUCUGGAGUCUAAGAGGUGGACAGGACGAUAAAGUAGUAGGUAAUAUUAAGCAAUAAAUAACAUAAUCAGAAACAAAAGGGUGCGACCUCUCUUGUGGACCUGUGUACUCCUCAGGUUCAUCUGCUGAGGUGAUGAUGGUGAUGCCGUCACGGUGGGUGCCGGCGGCAGGGAAGGAGAUCUGAGGCGGCAAAAGACGGUCAGGAGUCGUGAUGUCUGGUUUGGUGGAUGCUUCUGUCAAUGGAGCAGCUCAGGUGCGGUGGACGACAUCACGGCAGGAGCAGGACAAACCACACAAAAUUUUCUUCGACACCUACCUGUAACGGAAGUAAUUUUGUAAGGGCUCCUUUGGCUUGCAUGAUUCUAAAAACGCAGGGAUAGGAAAAACACCGGAAUAGGAUAGGAAUGCACAUGGGAAACAGAGCAUUUGUAAACACAGGAUUUCUGUCAACUUGGCUGUUUGGUUCACAGGAAUUGGAAGAGCAGAGGAAUGCAAAGAAGCAUGGCCAAAUUAAAGUGAAACCAUAUGAAAGCUUGUACAGUUAGAAUGCUAUUCUGCCACUAAUGCACUUGUUCUCGUUCUCAUGCAUAGGAUUUUGAAAAGUAGGUCCAGCUGGAUGUUUUGCUCCAUUCCUUUCAACAAAAUGCAUGAAUAAUUGAAUAUUAGAGUGCCAUAGGAAAAUUUCCUAUUGCUAUGUUUUCCUUUGAACCAAAAUAGCCCUAAUGGAUCGACAUGUGUGUAGAGUAAUAAGUGAUGCGACAAGUGUACAACCUCUUUGCCGUAGCCAUGUUGACCUCAACAUCAUUGGGUUGGUCGCUGAAGAAGUUGAGGCAGAGGUGGCUGUCGGAGGUGUGGAGGAAGAUCUGAGGAAUCUUUCAACGACGUCCAGGGCACUGCUCUGUUGUGAUGGAUGGUUCCGUCAUUGGAGUAGCUCCGACAAGCCGUAAGACAUCGGGGCUGAAGCAGUACAAGACAAACAUCGUUAAUCUCAAGUGGGAUUCUAAUAGCAUCUCCAAUAGAUGAUGUAAAAUACAUUACCAAAAAGCGAUAGAUGUAAAAUUUACAUCACCAAAAACCACCUGACUACAACAGAUGAGGUAAAAACUGUUGACUCUGAACUUAACUGUCGAAACUGAUAUUUACUGUGGAAUCUGAAUGUUACUGUCGAAACUGAACGCAAUGGUAGCAGAGAGGCAUUUCACAUGUAGUUUAGGGAGGGCCUGCAGUUCAUCUUCAACCUGCACCCCCUGAGCCGCCAGCCACCACCGGCUGAACUGCCGGCCCUGGCCGCCCGCGGCUGGCUGCGCUCCAGCGCCGCCUCGCCGCCCCUAAACCACUCCCCACCGCCGGCCCGCCGCCGCCCCGGCCAGCCCUCUAGCCCCCCCGCACCGAGAUUUUUCUCCAGUGAUCUCCACGCCACUGCCCCACCACCGCGCCCCCAUCGUCGACGAGCACCGCCCCACCUUGAACCCUAAGAUAGAUAGUGGGGUACCUCUCCGGCGAGCCCCCCUCCCUGCUGUGGGUGGUUCUUCCUUAACUCUGGCGAGCCCCCCACCCCCUGAAAAUCGAUUGACCCAAAAGUCGAUUCAGUCGACUGAAGUGUAGCUAAAUCGGAGUAGAGCAACAACACGAGCGAGGGGGAGAGUAGCAGCAGCAGUGCGAGCGAGAGCCGGAGUAGCAGCAGCAGCAGAUCCGGCUGGUAUGGACGCCGCGGCCGAAGGGGCCUCGCACUAGGGGAGAGCCGCUGUGGAGAUGUCGCCCGCGGUGCCGGCUUCGAGGUAGCCGCGCCAUGGGGGUGCGGGAUGGAGUACCGUCGGUGCCGGGAGGUCGAGUUAAGGAGAAGGUGUGAUGCGAUGAGUGUACAACCUCUUUGGUGGCGCCGAGUAGGCCUCGGCUUCGUCCGAGGAGUCGGUGAGGAGGCUGCGGCUCCGGUGGAGCAGGUUAAGGCGGUGCUGUGGGGAUGGAGUAGCCGCGAUAGACGAGGCGAUCGUCGGAGCAGCUCCUUGGAGGUGGAGGACGGGGCGGCCGAACCGGCGGGACAACGAGAUGGACAACGGAUCCUCAUCCGGGGAGGUGGAUGAGGGACGCCGAGCCGUCACGGUGGACGAUGUCGUCGGGGAAGAGGCUCUGGCUGGGUAGCGAUGACGUGGCAGACGAAGGAGGGUGGGGUUUCGCGGUUGGAGCAGAGAGGUUAUGGUGGCCUGGGAUUUCGAAUGGCGAAAAGGAGGUGAUGGGAGGAGGAACCAUGACUUAGGGACGCGCUUGUCCAAAAUGUAGGGUGUGUUACAAAAGUAUCCCCACCGAUUUGAACUAGCGACCCUUUUGGCUCAGGGUUAGAAGGGGGACUUCGCGUGUCGGGAUUUGGCAGCUGGAGGGAGUUUUCGCGCGCGUUGUAAUUUCGGGAUAGCAAGGCGCUGGUUGUGAAUGCGCGAGUUUUGGGAGCACGAUAUCUGAAUUUUCGGGAUAUAACAAGGUGCAGGUUGAAUUUUAGAGACAAGCCUAACAUGUAAUAUUGUACUUGUACGUACCAAAUCAAUUCGCACUUCCCUCAACAAAAAAACGAAAAAAAUAAAACUAUUCACACUACACAAAGAGAGAGCCUUGUCCCGUUUUACUAUACAAAUGCUAUUCAAAGCUAUGAAUCCAUGUUAUGUCCAAUUAAAUUUUUUCGCUGGCUGUAUAAUGCAUGUAACCUACUCAUACCAACAUUUUAGUGCAUUCCAAAUGUCUAUACUACGGCUGCAAUUCGAACUAAAUUUGAAUUUGUUUCUCUAUUUGAAUAAGAAUCUACAAUCAAGAUUGUUGCUAACUUCAACCAUCAUUCGCGUAUUACCUUAACAACACACCACACGAUUACAAUAGAGAUAGAUAUGAACUAUGUGUACUAUAUGAACUUGAAUUCAAUUUUUUGAAUACACUUGAUGUUGAUUCCAAAUAAUAGUACAUUUGACGUACUAACUAGAUAUUCAUAAUCUAAACCAUGUUCCAUACGUACACCGUGUUUAUCACACAAAGUAUAGUGCCCCGCCCCCUACAUUAUGACAAGUAUUUAGCCCUGAGCUGCAAAAGCCACACAUUAUCCCAAAUUAUAAUCAAUGUUCUAUAUAUUAUAUGUAGUACUAGGAAGAUGCCCAUGCGUUGCACGGAACAUCAAGAUGAUCGAGGGGAGGCCUUAUUUGCAAAUGUGGAGAGGGGUAUGGGUAUCUUUUUUCCAAAUUGCCAUAGUUUCCUUCCUAUCCGUCAGAUAUAAAUCAGACGACCUAUAUUGCAGGAUGGCAGGCACACCAUCAUCACCAACUCUGUUUUUUAUAUAUAAAAUAUAUUAUAUGCAGUAUAACAUGUUCAUAACCACACCAUGUGUAUCACCGUUAUAUAUAUUCACGCAUGCGUCGGUUUAAAACACUAUGAUAAAUUCUUCAAAUAUCUGAAUUCACUUUUUAUAAUGAAAUUAUGAUCUCUGUUCGUCUUUUACACCCACACAAUCCUCUUAUCUUUGUAGCUAGCGCUAACUUUCUCUCGUGCAUGCACACGCCCGCAUCCCUCUCACCCUCCCUCAGCAUUCUCUAGCUCCAUCGCGCAAAUUCGUCUUUUCACUUUAGGUCAUUCACCCACGGCAUGUGUAGGCCCCCCAAUUCCUUCUUUACGACACACAUCGAUCGAUAUGCCUCUCUAGCCAGGUGUGCCUACCACAAACACAAGCUUUCCCUCUUCUCUUCUCACCGUCCAUGCCUCACUCCCGCCCCUCUUUUCAUGGAUCUCAUACUCGCACACUCCUUCCCCCUCGAUAUAGUAUGCCUAUCGCACCACCUCCUAGCUGCAUCCCUCUCUCUCUAUCCUUCUCUCCGGGCCUUAUUUGCUUCUAACACAUACAUGGAUGUAUACCGAUCGAUCUCCCUACAUAUACCUAGGUCGACUUUAACUAUUUCCCCCCACCCAUCUAUCGACGUACCUCACAAGUUAUGUCUCUCCUUUCUCCGACAAAGGACGAUUGAUCUUCCUAUGCAGUUACGUCUGCUUACCACAGCCAUAUCGUCCCCCCUCAUCGUUCGUGCAUGCCUCCUGACCCGUCUCUCUAACGCACGUGCACAGACAGGCAUGCAUCCCCUCUCUUAUUGAUAUUGCAGGCGUGCCCUCCGUUUGUCUAGCAAGCCUCUCCCAUCAUUUGUAAGAAGCAACUCCACUACCAACCCCUCCGACACUCUAGCUCUGUCUCUCUCCCAACCUUAUUCCUCUCCUACACAUAUGCAUGGAUGCCGAUCGAUCUCCCUCAAUACAUAAGGUAGGUCUCUCUCCUCCUCCACACAUAUACCAGCCAUUGUACCUCUAAGUUAGGUCUCUCCCCCACCCCCACACCGAUAGUCGAGCGCUGUAGGUAGGUAGGUAUCCAUGCCACAGAGACAAACUGCACAUGUCCCCUCUCACGUUCCAGUAGGCCGGCCAUCCUAUAUCUUUGACGUGGGCACACACAAAUUCGAUGGCACUCUUUAUCGAUCGCGCGCGCGCACACACACACAUCAUCCCUCUCUUCGAUUCUAUGGAUACCUCACGCCGAUGAUACCUCCACUCUCUUCUCGUGGAUCGCCCCCUCUAUAUAUAUGAUAUAUCCAGGCCUCUAUUUCACACACAUUGCAUAUGUUACAUUUUUUGAUCGAAAUAUCAUCGACACAUAUUCCCUGUCUAUCUCUCACGCCCCCCAAAAUAAACACUCACGAACCCACACACUAUAUCUCUCUAUGUUUGUAUCUCUCUCACACAACCCCACGUAGGUGGUGUACGUACACGAAGAGAAUAGGUGCACGUACUCAUGCUUCGUGCCCAGCAACACCCGCGCGGUACACGGUGGAGCUCAUUUCUGUAUGAAAUGGCAGCCGACGUGCUAAUUUGAGCACAUGUAGCGGUUGUUUACCUACGGAGGUCGUGUACCACGCGUGCACGAAACAAAGUUCGACUUGAUGCGUUGGCGCGUUAUUUUUAAAUAAAGUUAUAUCGCUCAAUGGCAUGUACACAGAAUAUAAAAUGAUUUUUAUGGAGACAAAGGUAGUCCGCUCCACUAUAUACAAUGGAGCCUGCUUGUCGGGGUUUUUCUCUCUUCAGAGUAUCUCACACAAGGCGGCGGUGGCCUCUCUCUCUCUCACCGUUGGUCACUGAUCCGACCGCAUCCCGUACGCUGGCGGAAAGGGAGGAUGUGCAUCGUUUCUCCGUUUGACGGCGCCGGGGCAGCACAUCCCGAUCUGCGGUACCCGCUGUUCUCUUUGACCAAGCUCCGGCGCGGUAGGGCUUACGCCACUUCUCGCUGCCACAGUAUGGGCAGAUCCCGCCCGCCGCCGCUCUCCUAGUUACAUCUCGACGACCCCCAGGUAUCCCCUCUGGCCUUGCUCCACUGCCCGUCUUCCCACGUCACUGCAUGUGGAAAGUCUUGCAUGUCGAUCUUCCAUAGUUCUUUGCCCAAAACAUAGCUCGUCCGGCGUACUUUCCAUAUUGCAAUCUCGUCCUCACACCAUGUUAGACAAACACAACCGUGUUAUUAUCUUCCCUUAGGACAAGGAAUAUGCUUCUUUUUUGUUGUCGUAUGUGUCAUCAACUGUUAUUGUCCAGUAAUUGUUUCCUUUCUACCUCUUUUUUGCAAACAGGGCUAUCCAUUUCACCUCGUUGCUAUUGCGACCUUUUGGUGAACUGCACAAAUCACUUUUUUCUUAAGAGUGUUCUGUGCAGUUGUACUAAAAUGUCACACGGGCAACGUCUCUACGUUUCAGUGCGACUACACAAAGGGAGAUUGGUUUUGCUCUAUCCUCCUCAACCAACUCCGAGCCUAAUCUUCUCCAACUAUUUGCUUAAUCUUCUCCAACUAGUUAGUCUUAAAAGAGACUGUGAUACGUCUCCAAUGUAUCUACUUUUCCUAACGCUUUUCCUCUUGUUUUGGACUCUAAUUUGCAUGAUUUGAAUGAAACUAACCCCGGACUGAUGCUGUUUUCAACAGAACUACCAUGGUGUUGUUUUUGUAUAGAAAUAAAAGUCCUCGAAAUGGAACGAAACUUUGCGAGGAUUUUUUAUACAAUAAAAGAGAAUUUCUAGAGCCAAGAGCCACCGGAGGGGGGCACAUUGGUGGGCACAACCCACCAGGGCACGCCUGCUCUCCCAGGCGCCCAGGUGGGUUGUCCCCACCUGGUGGCCCCACAAACCCUGAAACCGACGCUAUAAAAUCCUAUUUUCCAGAAAAAAUCAGAGAGAAAGAAUUAUUGCGAUCCACGAGACGGAGCCGCCGUCACCUCCUGUUCUUCAUCGGGAGGCCAGAUCUGGAGUCUGCUUGGGACUUCGAAGAGGGGAAUCUUCGUUCUUCAUCAUCACCAACUCUUCUCCAUCGCCAAUUCCAUGAUGCUCCCCACCGAGAGUGAGGAAUUCCUUCGUAGGCUCGCUGGUCGGUGAGGAUUGGAUGAGAUUCAUCAUAUAAUCGAGUUAUUUUUGUUAGGGCUUGAUCCCUAGUAUCCACUAUGUUCUGGGAUUGAUGUUGCUAUGACUUUGCCGUGCUUAAUGCUUGUCACUUUUGGCCCGGGUGCCAUGAUUUCAGAUCUGAACCGUUUAUGUUAUCAUCAUUAUAUCUAUGUUCUAGAUCCGAUCUUGCAAGUUAUAGUCACCUACUACGUGUUAUGAUCCGACAACAACGCAGUGACAAUAGCCGGGACCACUCUCGAUGAUGACCGUAGUUUGAGGAGUUCAUGUAUUCACCAUGUGUUAAUGCUUUGUUUCGGUUCUCUAUUAAAAGGAGGCCUUAAUAUCCCUUAGUUUCCAAUAUGGACCCCGCUGCCACGGGAGGGUAGGACAAAAUAUGUCAUGCAAGUUCUUUCCAUAAGCACGUAUGACUAUUUACGGAAUACAUGCCUACAUUAUAUUUAUAAACUGGAGCUAGUGCCGUAUCGCCCUAGGUUAUGACUGUCACAUGAUGAAUAUCAUCCAACAAAUUACCAAUCCAAUGCCUACGAAUUUAUCUUAUAUUGUUUCUGCUAAGUUACUACUACUAUCGUUACUGUUGCACUUGCUACAAAACUAUUGCUAUCACUGUUACUGUUACCAUUGCUGCUGUCACUAUUAUCAAAACUAUCAUAUUACUUUGCUACUGAUCAUGUUGCUGCGGAUAAUUAAUCUCCAGGUGUGGUUGAAUUGACAACUCAGCUGCUAAUAGUUGCAAAUAUUCUUUGGCUCCCCUUGUGUCAAAUCUAUAAAUUUGGGUUGAAUACCCUCGAAAACUGUUGCGAUCCCCUACACUUGUGGGUUAUCAAGACCUUUUUCUGGCGCCAUUGCUGGGGAGCAUAGCUAUAUUUGUUGAUUCACUUGGGAUUAUUAUCAAUUUAUCAUUAUGAAGAAUCUGAAGGAUGCUAAGACUAAGAUUUAUCCCUCUAAGACGAGGGGAGGUAAGGAACUGCCAUCCAGUCCAGCUUUAGAUUCACCUUCUGUUAUAAGUAAACUUGCAACACCACCACAUGCUAUUAAUCCUAAUAUGUCGCAAGUUAUUGAUGGUGCUACUUUACUAUAAAUGAUGCUUAUGAUGAUGCAAGUACCUUGCAUGAUGAUGAUGUGCCACUAGGUGAAUCUCUUGAUGAACAAAUUGCUAGAGUAAUACAACAUGAUGUUGUUGAAUCCGAUGAUGAGCCUGAAACUGAAAAUCUUGAAACACCUGCUAGAACUAGCCUUCCUAGAUAUGAAUUGCCUAAUGUACCAGAAGGUUAUGUUAUGAAUGAGGAGACAACUAGAGAUAUUCUUGCUUGUAAGGAUAUAGAUGAUCUAGAGAAAUUAUUAUGCAAGUAUAAGGAAAAAUUUCUGAAUGCUAGAGUGCAAUAUGAUCCUAAGUUUUCUACCUCACCUAUCUUUAUUGAUGAUAAGGAUUAUGAAUUCUCUGUCGACCCAGAGUUAAUUACUUUGGUUGAAUCUGAUCCUUUCCAUGGUUAUGAAACUGAAACUAUUGUGGCACAUCUUACUAAGUUGAAUGACAUAGCCACCCUUUUUACUCAUGAUGAGAAAACUUGCUAUUACUAUAUUCUCAAAUUAUUUCCGUUCUCAUUAAAGGGUGAUGCUAAAGCUUUAUACAAUACUCUUACUCCUGGUUGUGUGCGUAGUCCCUAGGAUAUGAUUUGUUACUUCUCUGAAAAAUAUUUCCUGCUAAUAAGAAACAAGCUGCCUUACAGGAAAUACUUAACUUCGUGCGAACUAAAGAAGAGAGUCUCCCACCAGCUUGGGGGAGGCUUUGCCAGUUACUUAAUGUUUUUCCUGAUCAUCCUCUUAAGAAAAAUGAAAUACUUGAUAUCUUCUAUAAUGGACUAACUGAUGCUUCUAGGGAUUUCCUAGAUAGUUGUGCUGGUUGUGUUUUCAGGGAAUGAACUGUUGGACAAGCUGAAGAAUUAUUGAAUAAUAUAUUGAAAAAUUAUGAUGAUUGGAGUCUUCCCGAACCACCGCCUAAGCCCACUCCAAAGAAGAGGGGUAUAUUAUAUCUCAGUCCUGAAGAUAUGCAAGAGGCAAAGAAAUCUAUGAAGGAAAAAGGUAUUAAAGCCGAGGAUGUUAAAAAUUUACCUCCUAUUGAAGAAAUACAUGGGCUUAAUACACCACCACUGCCUAAGGUGGUAGAGGUAAAUUCUCUAAUGAAAUUCAAUGAUAAUGACAAUCCUCACAAUAUGCACCCUAGCCAAUGCCUUUAUGAGUUUGAGAAUUACCUUAGAAAGCAAGAUUACUUCAAUGCAAAUGUCAUGAAACAAUUGAAAUAUAAUUCUUAUAUGAUUGCUCGCUUGAGUGACUUGUUAUUUAGAAUCAAUGAUGUUAGAGUUGUUGCAAAACAUGCUUCUAUGGUACAAACCUAGUUAGAACAAGUUGCUAAAUCUCAAAGAGAGUUGCUUGAUGAAAUGAAUAACAACAUACAUGACUUUGCUGUUAGAGUUGCAACUAGAGGAGGUAAAAUGACUCAGUAACCACUUUAUCCUGAGGGACACCCAAAAAGAAUUGAACAGGAUUCACAAAGGAACAACAUCACUGCACCUAGUCCUUCUAAAAGGAAGAAGAAAAAGAAAAAUGAUAGGACUUUGCAUGCCUCUAGUGAACCUGAAAUAGAAAAACCUCCUAAUAAUGAUAAUGAUAUUUCUAUUUCGGAUGCUGAAACUCAAUCUGGUAAUGAACAUUCACCUAAUGAUAAUGAAAAAGAUAAUGCUGAUGUUCAUGAAGGUAGUCAACCAAACAAUGAAAAAGAACCAGAUAAUGAUAUUGAAAUAGAACCACCAGUUGAUCUUGAUAACCCACGACCCAAGAAUACACGUUAUGAUAAAAGAGAUUUUAUUGCUAUAAAACACGGUAAAGAAAUAGAACCGUUGGUUCAAAAACCCAUGCCUUUUCCACCCAAGUCAACUAAAAAGAAAGAUGAUGAAGAAUUUGAACGCUUUGCUGAAAUGCCGAGGCCAGUCUUUUUGCGUACUCGCUUGACUGAUAUCUUGAAAAUGCCUCCUUAUGCAAAGUACAUGAAAGACAUCAUCACUAAUAAGAUAAAAAUACCGGAAGCUGAAAUCUCCACCAUGCUUGCCAAUUAUACUUUUAAAUAUGGAUUACCUAAAAAACUUGGAGAUCUGGGAAUACCAACUAUACCUUGCUCCAUCAAAAGAAAUUAUGUGAAAACUGCUUUGUGUGAUUUAGGAGCUGGUGUUAGUGUUAUGCCUUUCUCUUUAUAUAAAAGACUUGACUUGAAUAAACUCACACCUACUGAAAUAUCUUUGCAAAUGGCUGACAAAUCAACUGCCAUACCUAUCGGUAUUUGUGAGGAUGUGCCCGUUGUUGUUGCUAAUGUUACUAUUUUGACUGACUUUGUUAUAGUUGAGAUGCCCGAGGACGACAACAUGUCGAUUAUCCUUGGUAGAACCUUCUUGAACACUACAGGGGCUGUUAUUGAUUGCAAUAAAAGCAAGGUCACUUUUCGUAUCGAUGGUAAUGAGCAUACGGUGCACUUUCCGAAGAAACAAUUCCAAGUGAAUGGUAUUAAUGUUAUUGAAAAAUCUCCAACAAUCACUACUGGAAGUUUUCAACUACCUCUACCUACUGUUAAAAAGAAAUAUGAAAUGCUUAUUGUUGGGGACAUUCAUAUCCCCGUUGAGGUAACUUAGUGAUUUACGAAAGUUCUUCGGUUUCAUGCUAAUCGAAAGUGGUUGUUAAUAAGACUUGAUCAACCUUAUUAAUGGAUCAGUUUUGAGAGGUAUGAAGUUGAUGAAUUUAGUAAGCACUACCUUCUGUCCCUUCCUUUUUUUUAUGUUUUUAUUAGUUAAAUAAAAUAAAAUGCCAUGUUUUGACUAUUUUCUGAUUUUCCCGUGCAAUAAAAAAUGACCCAAAAAUAAAAGUUCUCAGAAUGCUCUGAAAUUUAAUACAUUUUUUUUCCUGAAUAUUUAAGAAUUUCUGGUGCAAAUAAUAUCAGAGGGAGGCGCACCAGGUGGGCACAACCCACCUGGGCGCGCCAGGACCCCCAGACGUGUCCUGGUGGGUUGUGGUCCCCACGUGGGCCCCCUCACUUAUCUCUUUACGCCACAUCAUCACCUACCUCCAGAAAAAAUUAAUCAUUGCUCUCUCUCUCUCUCUCUCUCUCUCUCGUGUUCUUGCUCUCAAACCCGCGGAUUUUGAUCUCUUUGCUUGAAGCUCCGUUUCCGAAACUGUUUCGGGGGAUUGUUGCUUGGUAUGUGACUCCUCCGUUUGUCCAAUUAGUUUUUGUUUUAGUGGUUUAUAUUUUGAAGAGUUAUCUACUCUUGGUGCUGCUAUAGAUGAGCUUGCAUGUUGAAUUCUUAGAGUUCUAAGUAGUUUGAAUGCUUGCUAUGGCCUCUAUGUAUCCCUAUGUGUAGUUGCUAUCAAUUUUGUGAAGUUUUGUUGAGAAAAAUUUGUGGACUAAAAAUUUCAGAAUUGUUGUUCUUAGGAAAAGGAUGAAUAUUUUUGGGAAGUUUGCUUCUAAGAAGAACUCCAAGGGAGUUAUUGGGGAGUCGUCUGACAGUGAUCUCCACCCCCGGAGGUUGGCGGAAGUACGGCCGUGCGAAUGGCCGCAUACCCCGUUCAUGGAAGAGGCUGGAAUCCUUCAAGAGUUAACACAAUAUGCAGCUAAUGCAGGCCUCACCGACUUCAUCUCAGAUGAAUGUGAACAUUAUCAUCUCCUCACAAACAUCUUUGUUCAAAAUUUUAAUUUCCUUCCUAGGAAUAAUCCCCCUGAGGUGCAAUUUAAUUUAUAUGCUGAUUUCCACCAGAUACCUCUUACUGAAUUUUGUGAAAUAUGCUUGCUUCCUGCUGAUGGUAGUUUAGCAGAGCCAAGACCCGCAGAGUUUGAAAGCUUUUAUCAUACUCUGACAGUGGGUGAUGAGAGAGGGGUGUCGGGUAUAACUGCCGCUGGCUUGCAUUUUCCUGCUGUUCAUUAUUUUGCUCUUUUCAUUUCAAAAUGCUUGCUUGCUAGAGAGAAGGUGGGUGCACUGAGUUCACCAGACCUUGCUGUUUUACGUCGUGCACUAGAGGGCGACAACACUUAUAGCCUGGGAGCUAUUGUGGCACGCCGCCUCCACAUUAAUAAGUCCAAGGGUAAAAUACAUGGUGGUAUUUUUGCUACUCGCUUGGCGGCUCGCUUUAAUGUUGAGAUACGCCUUCAUGAUUAUCCCUUGACCAAGGUCUACAGAUCGCACAGCUAUGGAACACCACCAUUUUAUUGCACAAGAUUCCCUAACAUUCCUAUUCCGUAUAACUUGGUUUUCAGUGUGAGCACUCGUGAUAUUAUCCCAUUGUCUGCACCUGCUUUGUUUGAUCCUGUUGCAUAUAGGAUUACGCCUGCAGAUAUCAUCACCUACCGGAAUGACCAGGCUGCAGCAGAGGAGUAGCCUCAGCAGUGGGAUCCAUGGAUGCCCGCUCCUCAACACCCCGACUAUUAUCCAGUCUACAAAUCGAUUACCAAGUUAGGCCAAAAGCCUAAGCUUGGGGGAGUACAUGUUUCUCACCGACAUUACAUUCAUGUUCACACAUCUCAUUCUAGUUGUCGGUGUUCACACUUUUUCAUUGUAUUAUCCAUGCUUAAUUUAUUUUCUUGCUUUCUUCUUGAGUGUUUGAAAAACCUUAUAAAAAAAUUGUAGUUAGUUUAGUUUCUAUGCAUGCUUAAUUGUAGCACUAAAAAGAAAACCCAAAAAGAUUUCCUUGUUCUUCUUUUGCUUGUUGGGAGCUUUCCCGUGUAAAUAGUUUUUCUCCUUUUUGCUUUCCCUUUAUUUGCUUGUUCUAGAAAACCAAAAACUCCAAAAAUAUUUCAGUGUGUUUAUCUGAAUUUCUUUUCUUUUUAUUCGAGUCGUACCAAGUAGAAGAACACGAUGAAAAUGUUGACUGGCUCUUAUUUGCAUAAUUGUUAAUCUAACAAAGAGCCCCUUUUACCUUGUCUUCUCCUGUUGAAUAAAUUGUUUGCAGAUUCUAGCUUAGUCCAUGGUACUCUUGCACUAUUAUUAUUUUCACAUCGUUCGGUCGUGCAAGUGCAAGGCAAUAAUGACGAUAUUCGAUGAACUCGCCAUGGCGGAGAGAAACGGGUAUGAACUCGGCUUGUUCUGUUUUUGUAAAUAUGUUUAACCUAGUAUCCAUGAUUCAACCCCUUAUGAUUAAACAUGUUUGCAAUGACAAUUAGAGAUUAUAGUUUCUCAUUCCAUGCUUAAGUAGCUAGGAGUGGAUAAUGAUUUAUCUUGGAUAUCAACAUUGCGUUAAAAUGAUUGUGAUGUAGUAUGAUGAUAUGGUAUCCUCCUCUGAAUGUUCGAGUGGCUUGACUUGGCACAUGUUCAUGCAUGUAGUUGAAUCAAAACCAACAUAGCCUCUAUGAUAUUUAUGUUCAUGGUGUUUAUAUCCUACUCAUGCUAGUGUCCAAUGUUAUUUAUGCAUAAUGCAUGUUCAUGACCGUUGUUGCUCUCUAGUUGGCCGCUUCUCAACCUAUUUGCUAGCCUUCACCUGUACUAAGUGGGAAUUCUGCUUGUACAUCAAAAACCUUGAACCCAAGUUAUUCCAGAUGAGUCCACCAUACCUACCUAUAUGCGGUAUUACCCUGCCGUCCUAAGCAAAUUUGCAUAUGCCACCUCUAAAAACUUCAAAUAAAUAUCCUUUUUGUGUGCCUGGAUCGUUCAUGGAACGACAGGAGGUGGUCGAUAUCUUCCAUGCUAAGCGGGUUAUUCUUAGGUCUAGUGUUUAUUCACUCGCCAUCGCACAAGAAAAGGGCGGUAAUAGGGAUUCCCAGUCCCGAACUAAAAAAUGCAAAUAAAUAAACAAAACUCCCCCGGGACUGUUGUUGGUAUGGACGUCACCCGUUGUUUCGGACAAGCUAUGGAGUGUGAUUGAUGGUGGAGGGGGAGUAAACCUUUACUUUUACCACUUGGGAGCCGCCACUAGCGUGCUUAGCAUGGAAGAUAUUGAUAUCCGAUGGUCGUGAAGUAAAUGAGAAGGGUGCAUGUCUCAAAAUAUCAUUUACCUCUGUUUUAAAAACUUGAGCUCUGACACCUCUGCAAAUCACUGCUUCCCUCUGUGAAGGGACUAUCUAUUUACUUUUAUGUUGUGUCAUCACCCUCUAAAAUAAGCGCCAGAACCUGAGAGCAUUGCUGUCAUGCUGAUGCAUUGUGUGUAGCUAAUGUUGGGUGCAUCAUGACUGGAUCUUUUCUACCAUGAAUUACAAUGUUUAGUCGCUGCUUGAACUUUGGAGGUGCUUUGCAUUUAUGUUUUGCGGUCUCAGAAAGGGCUAGCGAGAUACCACUAUUGUCAUAUUAUAUCAUGGUUGUUUUGAUAAUGUCUUGCUGUUUGAGAUAUCUUAUUAUUGCUCACUAGCUGAUUAUGUCAGUGAUAUGAGUUAGUAUAAUUUUUAAGAGUUAUUGUCGACAUGGUUAGUUAUAGUGAUGGCUGAAAACUUGGGUAUUGUUUAAGCUUAUUUAUGCAAACAAGAGCAAAAGAGUUUGUAAAAGUUUUUAUUUUAUUUAUGCAAACAACCAGACGGAGCCGCUGUCACCUCCUAUUCUUCAUCGGGAGGCCAGAUCUGGAGUUCGUUUGGGACUCCGAAUAGGGGGAUCUUCGUUCUUCGUCAUCACCAACCCUUCUCCAUCGCCAAUUCCAUGAUGCUCCCCACCAAGAGUGAGUAAUUACUUCGUAGGCUCGCUGGUCAGUGAGGAGUUGGAUGAGAUUCAUCAUGUAAUUGAGUUAGUUUUGUUAGGGCUUGAUCCCUAGUAUCCACUAUGUUCUGAGAUUGAUCUUGCUAUGACUUUGCCAUGCUUAAUGCUUGUCACUUUGGGCCCGGGUGCCAUGAUUUCAGAUCUGAACCGUUUAUGUUAUCAUCAUUAUAUCUAUGUUCUAGAUUUGAUCUUGCAAGUUAUAGUCACCUACUACGUGUUAUGAUCCGGCAGCCCCGGAGUGACAAUAGUUGGGACCACUCCCGGUGAUGACCGUAGUUUGAGGAGUUCAUGUAUUCACCGUGUGUUAAUGCUUUGUUCUGGCUGUCUAUUAAAAGGAGGCCUUAAUAUCCCUUAGUUUCCAAUAUGGACCCUGCCGCCACGGGAGGGUAGGACAAAAGAUGUCAUGCAAGUUCUUUCCAUAAGCACGUAUGACUAUUUACGGAAUACAUGCCUACAUUAUAUUUAUGAACUGGAGCUAGUGCCGUAUCGCCCUAGGUUAUGACUGUCACAUGAUGAAUAUCAUCCAACAAAUUACCGAUCCAAUGCCUACGAAUUUAUCUUAUAUUGUUUCUGCUAAGGUACUACUACUAUCGUUACUGUUGCACUUGCUACAAAACUAUUGCUACCACUGUUACUGUUACCAUUGCUGCUGUCACUAUUAUCAAAACUAUCAUAUUACUUUGCUACUGAUCACGUUGCUCCAGAUAAUUAAUCUCCAGGUGUGGUUGAAUUGACACUAUUUUGCUCAAUCAAAGUAGACAAAGGCAUAUCAUUAAAAUCAAUAGGAGCACUUUUACUAGAAACCAAUUUCAUAAGAGCAUCAACUUUAUCACUCAAAGAAGAAAUUUCUUCAAUCGAAUUAACUUUUUUACUAGUAGGAGCUCUUUUGGUAUGCCAUUGUGAAUAAUUUUCCAUGAUAUUAUCAAGCAAUUUGGUGGCUUCACCCAAAGUAAUUUCCAUAAAAGUUCCACCCGCGGCGGAAUCUAAGAGAUUACGAGAAACAAAAUUCAACCCCGCAUAAAUUUUUUGUAUGAUCAUCCAAAGAUUUAACCCAUGAGUUGGGAAAUUCCUUAGCAUCAUUUUCAUCCUUUCCCAAGAUUGUGCAACAUACUCAUGUUCAAGUUGCUUGAAAUUCAUGAUCUGGGUUCUAAGGGAAAUAAUUUUUGCGGGAGGAAAAUACUUAGUGAUAAAAGCAUCUUUGCACUUAUUCCAAGAAUCGAUACUAUUGCGAGGCAAAGAAGAGAACCAAAUUUUUGCAGAAUCACGCAAAGAAAACAGAAAUAAUUUCAUCUUCACCACAUCAUUGUCCACAUCUUUUUUCUUUUGCAUAUCGCAUAAUUCCACGAAGGUAUUAAGAUGGGACACAUCAUCCUCAUUAGGAGUACCGGAAAAUUAAUCUUUCAUAACAAGAUUCAGCGAAGCAGUAUUAAUACCACAAGUCUCCGCACUAGUGGCGGGAGGAGCAAGCGGAGUGCCAAUAAAAUCAUUAUUGUUGGUAUUUGAGAAAUCACAUAAUUUGGUGUUCUCUUGAGUCAUGAUGACCACACAACAAGAUUGCACUCAAAAAACAGACCUGGCAAGAAAACGGCGAACGAAAAAGAGAGGCGAAUAAAACGGCAAAUUUUUGUGAAGUGGGGGAGAGGAAAAUGAGAGGCAAAUGGCAAAUAAUGUAAAUUGCGAGGAGAUGAGAUUUGUGAUUAGGAACCUGGUAUAUGUUGAAGAUCCUCCCCGGCAACGGUGCCAAAAAUUCCUUUUGUUGUUGCUUGAAGCUACGUUGAUAUUUCCCCAAAGAGGAAGGGAUGAUGCAGCACAGCGGCGGUAGGUAUUUCCCUCAGAUAUAAAACCAAGGUUAUCGAACCAGUAGGAGAACCAAGCAACACAACAUAAACGGCCCCUGCAUAGAAAUAACAACACCUUGCAACCCAACAUGUUAAAGGGGUUGUCCAUCCCUUUCGGGUAACGACGCCAGAAACGGUGCAUGGACGGGAGAAAGUUGUAAUAGAUUGAAAUAAUAGAUCGCAAAUAAAAUAAAGUGCAGCAAAGUAUUUUUGGAUUUUUGGUUUAAUAGAUAUGAAAAAAGUGCAAAUAAAAUAGAUCACAAAGCAAAUAUAUGAGAAAGAAGACCCGGGGGCCGUAGAUUUCACUAGUGGCUUCUCUCGAGAAAGAUAGCAAAUGGUGGGUAAACAAAUUACUGUUGGGCAAUUGAUAGAACCACAAAUAAUUAUAAUGACAUCCAGGCAAUGAUCAUUACAUAGGCAUCACUUCCAAGAUUAGUAGACCGACUACUGCCUGCAUCUACUACUAUUACUCCACAUAUCAACCGCUAGCCAGCAUGCAUCUAGUGUAUUAAGUUCAUGGAAAAACGGAGUAAUGCAAUAAGAACGAUGACAUGAUGUAGACAAGAUCUAUCUAUGUAGAGAUAGACCCCCUCGUUUUAUCCUUACUAGCAACGAUACAUACAUGUCGUUUCCCUUUCUAUCACUGGGAUCAAGAACCGUAAGAUCGAACCCACUACCAGGCACCUCUUCCCAUUGCAAGAUAAAUAGAUCAAGUUGGCCAAACAAAACCCAAAUAUCGGAGAAGAAAUACGAGGCUAUAAGAGAUCAUGCAUAUAAGAGGUCAAAGAAACUCAAAUAACUUUCAUGGAUAUAAAAAGAUAUGACUGAUCAUAAACUCAAAGUUCAUCAGAUCCCAACAAACACACCGCAAAAAGAGUUACAUCAUAUGGAUCUCCAAGAGACCAUUGUAUUGAGAAUUCAGCGAGAGAGAGAGAGAGAGAGAGAGCCAUCUAGCUACUAACUACGGUCCCGUAGGUCUACAAAGAACUACUCAUGCAUCAUCGGAGAGGCACGAAUGGAGGUGGUGAACCCCAUCUGAGAUGGUGUCUAGAUUAGAUCUGGUGGUUCUGGACUCUGCGGCGGCUGGAUGAAUAUUUCGUCGACUCCCCUAGGGUUUCUGGAAUAUUGGGGUGGGCACAACCCACCAGGGCGUGCCGGGGCCUCCUGGCGUGCCUUGAUGUGUUGUCCCCUCCUCGGGACUCCCCCUAGGUGCAACCAGGGCCCGUUAUGUUCCUUCUGGCCCAUAAAAAUUCUCCGUAAAGUUUCGGGGCAUUUGGACUCCGUCUGAUAUUGAUUUCCUGCGAUGUAAAAAACAUGCAAAAAAUAGCAACUGGCACUUGGCACUAUGCGAAUAGGUUAGUACCAAAAAAUGACUAUAUGAUUAUAAAACAUCCAAGAUUUAUAAUAAAACAGCAUGGAACAAUCAAAAAUUAUAGAUACGUUGGAGACGUAUCAGUCACCGUCGCCGACGGCGAAAACCCACUGUCGGCACGUCCCGAUCAGGGGUCCCCACCGUUAUCUCUCACAAAGCCGGUGAGGUUGCCUUCGUCCCUUACUCACUACCGCGACGUGGGCAGUUGCCGCCUCCCGCCGCCCUCCUCUAGGUUGAGCUACAUCCCGACAUCCCUCAGGUACAACUUCCUUUACAGCCGGCUUGCACCACUGCUCCAGCUGCCCACAUCACUCCAUGUGGAUAUUUCUAUACUUCUUUGCCCCACACAUACCUCUACUGGCUUCUACGUACUGUAUUUGUGAUGAGUUUAUGUCUCAUCUUAUUCUAAUCACGCUUCUUCAAUUUCUUUGCCACAUGGAUGCUCUUCUCAAUUUUGGUGAAACUGCACAAAAUGAUCCGAUGGUCAAAGGGUUGCAAACUUCAUUUCUUGGGAAGCUCCAACGUUGUCAGUAAAUUAAAGCCUGGUUAGGGUUUACGGUUCAAAGGCUAGGGACUGCAUGGAUUGUUUUUUAUUUAGCUGUCUCUGUUCCAAAAUAAGUGUCAACUUUAGUAGUAGUACAACUUUGUACUAAAGUUUGCAUAAAGUUGAGACACUUAUUUUGGAACAGAGGGAGUACAUAUUGGCUAUGAUCUGUCAGUCAUUGAGAUGCAAUAGCAUGCAUGUUAGUCUCCUUUGUAUUUGAUGAAAUUUUGCAACGGGCAACCUUGGAUGCAAGAUACAUGAAACAUAAGCUGGAAGCUUCAUAGCAUUGUACAAAUUUAUCUCACUGAGAAAUUACAGUACGUACUAUACUAGUACUAUGUAAAGAGUUAGAUGUCGCAUGGUGUCCAGAAAAUAUGGUGAUAGUGUGAGGUGGGACAUGUAAUCACCGAGCUUGUGUGUUUUCACUUCUUUCACACUCCUCCGUUGUAAGAAUGGAGAAAAUUGUAAUCUAGUAGUACCUCCUUUCGCCAAAAGCGUGGGACAUCCAGCAGUCAUACCACCUCAGUAAUAAUGACCAAUGAGCCGUCAAAUCACAUAGACCCAGCAGUAAGUUCGACGAACGAAGCAACAAUCACUCUUGAAUCGGCUUCUCCCUUCAACGCAGGCGCCAGUGAGACAUCCCGUCCGCUCUGCCCAGGCAUGAAUGCGGCACCGAUUCUUUGGAGUGACGCUGACCGUUUCGGGCGGGAAGCGCGCGGGGGUGAUGGAGGGGCUUUGGGUGGGCCAGGCUUGUCAGGAUCGGGUGUGGCAGCUGUCCGCCUAUCCCGACCAGACGCCCGGAAAGGAGAGGAUGCACCGACUCUCGCGGCUAAAUCGUACACUACAAAGCAUCUCUUUGUAGGAGUAGGUCGAUCUGUCGCUCUCUCUAACACACACAUGCUGUUAAACACACACACACACACGCACACACGCACACACACACACGCACACACAAGUUCAUAGAAUAGGAAUAUCAUGCAAGUGCGAAGCCACAGGAAGUGACAUACAAAUGGAGUACGUACAAGAAGAGAAGAGGUGACGAAUAUUCCAUAAAACCUCGACUGAGGAGUAGUACUCCCUCCGUCUAGGUGUUAAGUCAUCUUACAGAAAUCAGAUAUUCCCAAAAUGUUUAGGCGUCGUCCAUUAACUUCACAUCUCAAUCCCCUCCUGGCCUCGUUGCUAGUGAGCGUUGUUACUUAGGGAGCGUUUGGAUCCUUAGCAAGAACAGUUUACAGCCUAGCCGGGCAAGGUUAUGCCAUUGGAACUGUUAAAAUAUGUUAGCUUUUGUGGGCUAGCUAGCUUGGGUGGGCUAUGAAAGCACAAGUGCUCUCCAGGUGGUUUUGGUAAUUAAUGUCAACAUAUCCCUUGUUGGACUAAUACUUUUAUCUAGUAUAUUUCAGAUAAGUUCAACAAUGGAGUGGCAUGGACUAAAGGUUGUGGGAACUCCUUCAAGAUGCUAAGGAAAAAGGAUUGGCUAAAGCUUCAAGCUCAGGACUCUUCAUUUUACACUUUUAGUGAUCCAAGAUCACAUUGAGUCCAUAGGAAAAGCCAAUACUAUUAAGAAGGGAUGAGGUGUUGCUUAAUGAGCAUUUUGCUUCAUGUGCUUGAUGAUAUGCUCCAAAACCCUCAGCUACUUUCCCACUUCCACAUAUGACCUAAACUCCAAGCCAAACUCGGUCCUACUGAUUCUUUUCAUCCGGCGCCACCGAGUUUCACAUGUCAUAAGCCACUGCCAAACCCUAGCAAAUCGGUUCUACCGAUAGGGAUCUCGGUCUCACCGAGAUGGGAUUGCAAUCUCACUGUGUAUGUCCAUUGUCAAAAUCGGUCUCACCGAAUUUAGGCAAUCGGUACUACCGAGAUUACAAUGCAAACUCUCUGGUUAACUCAUUACCAAAAUCGGUCCAACCGAGUUUAGUAAUCGGUUCCACCGAGUUUGCCUGACCAACUCUCUGGUUAGCCAAUUACCAAAUCGGUCUCACCGAGUUUGUGUAAUCGGUCUCACCGAGAUUACGUUAUGCCCUAACCCUAACCAUAUCGGUCCUACCGAGUUGCUUGUCAGUCCCACCGAAAAUCUCUAACGGUCACUAGGUUUACCUUUUCGGUCCGACCGAGUUUAUUGAUUCGGUCCCACCGAGAUUGGUAAAUUGUGUGUAACGGUUGGAUUUUGUGUGGAGGCUAUAUAUACCCCUCCACCUCCUCUUCAUUCGUGGAGAGAGCCAUCAAAACACAUCUACACUUCCAACUCAUAUGUUCUGAGAGAGAACCACCUACUCAUGUGUUGAGGCCAAGAUAUUCCAUUCCUACCAUAUGAAUCUUGAUCUCUAGCCUUCCCCAAGUUGCUUUCCACUCAAAUCUUCUUUCUACCAAAUCCAAAUCCUAUGAGAGAGAGUUGAGUGUUGGGGAGACUAUCAUUUGAAGCACAAGAGCAAGGAGUUCAUCAUCAACACACCAUUUGUUACUUCUUGGAGAGUGGUGUCUCCUAGAUUGGCUAGGUGUCACUUGGGAGCCUCCGACAAGAUUGUGGAGUUGAACCAAGGAGUUUGUAAGGGCAAGGAGAUCGCCUACUUUGUGAAGAUCUACCGCUAGUGAGGCAAGUCCUUCGUGGGCGAUGGCCAUGGUGGGAUAGACAAGGUUGCUUCUUCGUGGACCCUUUGUGGGUGGAGCCCUCGGUGGACUCGCGCAACCGUUACCCUUCGUGGGUUGAAGUCUCCAUCAACGUGGAUGUAGGAUAGCACCACCUAUCCGAACCACAGGAAAAACAUCCGUGUCUCCAAUUGCGUUUGAAUUCUCCAAACCCUUCCCUUUACAUACUUGCAAGUUGCAUGCUUUACAUUCCGCUGCUCAUAUACUCUUUGCAUGCUUUCUUGAUAUGUAUUGUGUAUGUUGAAAUUGUGCCUAAAACUCCACUUAAACUGAAAAAGUUUAAAAACUGCAACUUUAGCACUAAGUGUCUAAUCACCCCCUCUAGACACACCUACUUCUAGAUCCUACAAGUGGUAUCAGAGCUUUGGUCUCCAUUGCCUUGGUUUAAUCACCAUUGGAGGAAGAUGGAUGUGUCUACUUUAGGUAGUCUUAGACAUAGAGUGCCUAUUCUUGAUGGAGAGUAUUUUCAUGACUGAAAAAAUGAGAUGCUUGUGAUUUUCAAUCAAUAUCAUUUGAACAAGUAUAUUGCUAGUCCUUGUGCACCUCAUAUUGAUCCUAUGCAUCCCACCCUAGAUUAAGAUAUUGACAUGAUUCGCAAUCUUAGAACCGUUGAGCUCAUCAUUAGAGGAUUGCCCAAAAACUUGAUUGCUAGUUUACCUACUCUCAAGUGUGCCUAUACUAUAUGGAAAUUUCUUGAGGAACUAUUCCCCAAUUAUUCCUUAAAAAAUUUGGAUGAAAUUCUCCAUAAAUCUAUUGCCUUGAGUAAAAUGAACUCUAGUGAUCCUAGUUUUGGUAAUUGUCUAUUUGAGCUUACCAAUCUCAUGCGUGCUAAAGGAAAUAUUGGACUCAUUGGUGAUAUCAUAACCGAAUCUAUAAGAAUUCAUAAAAGUGACCACUUUGAUGAUCAUUUAUCUAAUGAAUUACCCUCUCUAGGAUAUGAUCAAUCACAAGAUGAUGAAGAUGAUGAGUGACUUUGAUCUUGAUGAUGCAAUGAGACACUUUGGUCUUAUGGCUAAUCUUCGAGGAUAUGUGUCAGGAGGAAAGGAAUGGGUUCUCGACAGUGGAUGUACUGAUCAUAUGACCGGAGAUGAAGAGAUGUUCCGUGAGCUUGCUGAAAAUGACGGCCCUCGAAAAUAUGUCACCUUUGGUGAUAAUUCAAAGGGUAAGGUGGUUGGCCUUGGUAAGGUGGCCAUCUCACACGAUAGCUCCAUUCAAAAUGUCAUGCUCGUUGAAUCUCUUGGGUACAACUUACUUUCAGUAUCUAGACUUGCUGAUUUCGGUUUGAAUGUCCUAUUUACUGAGGUAGAUUGCCAAGUGUUUUGUCGAGACAAUCAUAAAAUGGUCUUUACCGGUAUACGUAGAGGUGACCUUUACAUUGUCGAUUUCUCUAAAAAGGCACAACCUAAAACUUGCUUUAUUGCUAAAUCUUCAAAAGGUUGGUUGUGGCAUAGACGACUAGGUCACGUUGGCAUGAGAAACCUUGACAAGCUUAUUAAAGGAAAUCAUAUCCUUGGAGUUAACGAUGUCAUAUUUGAUAAAGAUAGACUUUGUAGUGCUUGUCAAGCAGGUAAACAGGUUGGAGGAAGGCAUCCCGUGAAGAACAUCAUGACCACAAGGAGGCCACUCGAGCUACUUCAUAUGGAUAUUUUUGGUCCCAAUGCCUACAAGAGUCUCGGUGGAAAUUCUUUUGGUCUAGUUAUAGUUGAUGAUUUUUCAAGAUUUACGUGGGUGUUCUUUCUUGAUGACAAAUCGCAGGUCCAAAAGAUCUUCAAAAACUUUGCGAGGAAGGCCCAAAAUCAGUUUGACGUGAAGAUCAAGAAGGUUCGGAGUGACAACGGAACGGAGUUCAAGAACGCAAAUGUGGACACCUUUCUUGACGAAGAAGGGAUUUCACACGAGUUCUCGGCUACGUACACACCUCAACAAAAUGGAGUUGUUGAGAGGAAGAACCGGACGCUCAUCGAAAUGGCGAGAACGAUGCUUGAUGAGUACAAGACGCCAAAGCACUUUUGGGCAGAAGCGGUUGAGACGGCUUGUCAUGCAACAAAUCGCUUGUAUCUUCACAAGCUACUCGGCAAGACGGCAUACGAGCUCCUCACCGGUAACAAACCCCAAGUUGGAUACUUUCGAGUAUUCGGCUCAAAGUGCUACAUUCUUGAUAAUCAUCAUCGUUCAAAGUUUGCACCUAAAUCUCAUGAAGGUUUCCUACUUGGUUAUGGUUCAAACUCUCACACUUACUGUGUCUACAACUCUUUCACCCGAAAGGUUGAAGAAACGGUAGAUGUGAAGUUUGAUGAAUCUAAUGGCUCGCAAGUAGAGCAAUUGCGAAUUGAUGUAGGAGACAAAGACCCUUCAGAAGCAAUCCAAGACUUGUCUGUUGGCAAAAUUCGUCCAAUGGAGGUGAAGGAGAAUACCUCGUCCGUCCAAGUGGAAGCUUCUACUUCACGACAAGGUGAACCAAGAGUUGACACGGAAGCAUCCACAAGUGGGACACACCAAGAUGAAGAAAACGAGGAAACACAUCAAGACGAACAUCAACAACCUCCUUCUCCACCACGACAAGAGAACAACAACGUCAACAAUGAAGAAGACCAAGAAGAUGAACAAGAUGGAGAAGAUGUUCAACGAAGACCCAAGCAAAAGCUUUCACGAGUUCGAGCAAGAAUUGCCAAAGAUCACCCCAUCGAGCAAAUCUACAAUGAUAUCCAAACCGGGAGAAUUACUCACUCAAAAACUCGUUUAGCUAACUUUUGUGAAAACUAUUCAUUCAUCUCUAGCAUUGAACCUAUGAAGGUUGAAGAAGCAUUGGAAGAUCCGGAUUGGAUAAACGCUAUGCAUGAAGAGCUACACAACUUUGAGAGAAACCAAGUUUGGACAUUGGUUGAGAAGCCCGACAACAACCACAACAUCAUUGGUACCAAAUGGGUGUUUCGCAACAAGCAAGAUGAAGAUGGACAAGUGGUUCGCAACAAAGCACGUCUCGUCGCCCAAGGGUACACACAAGUCGAAGGUAUGGACUAUGGUGAGACAUAUGCUCCUGUUGCUAGACUCGAGUCCAUUCGCAUCUUACUUGCCUAUGCGAAUCACCAUAAUAUCACCUUGUACCAAAUGGACAUUAAAAGUGCUUUUCUAAAUGGUGAAAUAGAGGAAGAAGUUUAUGUCAAACAACCUCCCGGCUUUGUCAAUCCUAAGAAACCUAAUCAUGUUUACAAACUUCACAAAGCUCUUUAUGGUCUUAAACAAGCUCCUAGAGCAUGGUAUAAAUGCUUGACCAAGUUCCUUAUUGCAAGUGGUUUUGAAAUUGGAAAAAUUGAUUCUACACUCUUUACUAAAAGGGUUAAUGGAGAACUAUUUGUAUGCCAAAUUUAUGUUGAUGAUAUCAUAUUUGGUUCAAGUAACCCUCUUUUUAGUGAAAAGUUUGGAAAGCUAAUGUCGGAGAAGUUUGAGAUGUCAAUGAUAAGUGAACUCAAAUUCUUUCUCGGUUUGCAAAUCAAGCAAACUAAGGAAGGUACUUUUGUCUCUCAAACAAAGUACACCAAAGACUUAUUCAAGAAGUUCAAUAUGCAAGAAUGCAAAGGUAUGCCUACACCCAUGCCUACUAGUGGACAUAAUGACUUGACCAAAGAUGGUGAACCGGUUGAUCAAAAGGUCUAUCGCUCUAUGAUUGGUUCAUUGUUAUACCUAUGUGCUUCACGUCCCGAUAUUAUGCUAAGUGUGUGCAUGUGUGCACGAUAUCAAGAUGCUCCUAAAGAAUGUCAUCUUAAGGCCGUGAAAAGGAUAGUGAGAUACUUAAUCCAUACACCAAAUUUUGGCAUUUGGUAUCCUAAGAGGUCCUCUUUCGAUCUUGUUGGCUAUUCCGACUCGGAUUAUGCCGGAGACAAGGUUGAUAGAAAGUCCACUUCGGGUACUUGUCAAUUUCUUGGUAGAUCUCUUGUGUCUUGGUCCUCCAAGAAACAAAACUCGGUAUCCUUAUCCACCGCCGAAGCGGAAUACAUUGCCGCUGGUUCAUGCUGUGCUCAAUUACUUUGGAUGACCCAAACUCUUAAAGAUUAUGGGGUCUAUGUGAAACAUGUUCCAUUGCUUUGUGACAAUGAAAGUGCUAUCAAAAUUGGUCAUAAUGCUGUGUAACAUUCUCGAACUAAGCACAUUGAAGUUCGUCAUCAUUUCAUUCGAGAUCAUGUUGCUAAGGGUGACAUUGAUCUUAAGCAUGUUCGCAACGAUAAACAAUUAGCUGAUAUAUUCACUAAACCACUUGAUGAGAAAGUGUUUUGCAGGUUGAGAGGAGAAUUGAACAUCAUUGAUGCUUCGAACUUGGAAUAGAAACUCCAUUGGAUACAUGCAAGACAUGAGCUUAUGGCCAAUCCAUGAUAUAUCUCUUAUGAUGACUAUCUUAUGUCUUGGAUAUAUUUGUAUCUUGCAUGUUAUCUAACCCAUGUAGGUACUUGGUUGAAUCUAAUUCUAUGAGAUUGCAACUCACUCACAUCUUGAGCAAUCUCUACAUCACCAAGUCUCUACACAAUGGUGGUUGGUGACAAGGAAGCACGAAACCAUUUGAACAUAUCCUUUGACAAAUUCUAUGUUGAGCUUCAUGAUUGUCAUUUUUGGAUAUACAAGUGCUUUUCCUUGCAAGAACUAAUCCAUGUAGGUAGAUGAACUCAAACUCCAAGUGGUGCUCCCAACUCAUGAUGAUCUACAUCACCCUUGAGCACCCACACAAGUUCAACCACAUGAGCAAGAUCCACACCACCACCCAAGGUAUGUUGUUCCAUCUUAGAGAUGCUUUACUCCAAGUCAUGAGUUAAAGCAACUCCACAAGAUGAGAGUACAUCAAAAUGCUUAAACGAAAAAUGGUAACCCCAUUUUGAGCUUAAACGAUGAGUAUGACCUAUGAUCAAGUGUCCUCACUUGACUCCUAAGUCAAUAUACUCUAACAUAGGUGACCAUGUCACCGCCCAAUUCUAGAUGAAGUUCUCUUGUGUUCUUUUCUGAGUUAUUGCAUUUGUCCCUUGCAUAUUUGUUUCUUUCGUUUUCAAACAACAAAAAAAAACUUCAUCUAGAAACUUUCAUUCUUUUCUUUUUGAUUUUUGUUCUGCAUAUUUCUGCAUCAAAUUCCUUGCAAAUCUUUCAGCUAAUUCAUUGCAAAUCUUUGUGAGAUCUUACUUGACUAGUGAGCUGAGGUGACAAGAGUUUUCUCUGUGGUGAACUCGGUUUCACCGAAUUUUCAUUUUCGGUCCAGCCGAAUCCCUUCGGUACCACCGAAACAUGCCACUCGGUGCCACCGAUUUCGCAACAGGAAAAACAGUUUGCCACAUAUUCUAUAUUUCUUCUGAUCUAGCUCCACUCAAUGAAUCUUGUCCUCUACAAGCAUCACAGUUUUAUUCACUGCUUUGUGCUGAAUCUCAAGGACCAAACCUAUUCGACGGAUUCCAGGAAAAACCUUCUUGGAAAUUGAUGUCAAAGGGGGAGAGAGAGAUCAUAUCAAAGCUUAUCAUCGGGGAGAGAGAGAUCACAUCAAAAGCUUAUCACCUACAAAGGAGAAAGUACUAAGGGGGAGAGAAUACUCAAGGAUCCAAAUAUUAAGGGGGAGAAAGAAAUCUCCAGGGGGAGAGAAUACUCAAGGAUCCCAGAUGCUUGAUGUUCAAGAGGAGAGAUGCCACAUGUCUUUUUGGGGGAAAGACAUGUUCAUAUGUACUCAUUUGAAUUAAGUUCUAUUCAUAUCUUUCAUCUCUGAUUUUCUGUUCCCUAUCUUCUCCCAAUAUCCCAUGUCAGAUUCAGGGGGAGCAAGACAUCUAAGGGAAAGAAAUCAUUCAAAUUCAUUGCAUAUCUUUACUCUUGGGGACAUGUCUAAUCCAAUGUGGUACCUUGUACUCACUCUUUACAUGUCAUCCCAGUCUUGGUAUUCUUGUGGUUUCUUUUGGUUUGCUCUGGCCAUUGGAUGUACCUGUGUUAUCUAACCUUGUUUGUGCAGGUUCAUUCCAUCCUAAGUCAACUCAAGACUACAAGGUAAGUAUAUGCAUCCGAAUCAUGAGUAUGAGGAAUUCUUGCUUUUUGUACAUACUGUUUGCAAGAAGGACUCAUAAGCAUGAAGGUAUUUCUCUUAAUAAUCUUUUGCUCUGAUGCAUAUGGCCAAGAUACAUGUAACACAUUGCCUACUCUGUCAUGAUUAUGCUCUCACAUGCUUCUAUAUUCUGUAUUCACAUGAUUGCAUACAUGUAGGGGGAGCCUAUGUUUGUUACAUGUUCUUCCAAAGCUUUACUUGCUAUUCUUUGUAUAUUUAUCUAAAGCUUUGAUGUAUGUUGCCAUCAAUUACCAAAAAGGGGGAGAUUGAAAGCACAAGUGCUCUCCAUGUGGUUUUGGUAAUUAAUGUCAACAUAUCUCUUGUUGGACUAAUACUUUUAUCUAGUAUAUUUCAGAUAAGUUCAACAAUGGAGUGGCAUGGACUAAAGGUUGUGGGAACUCCUUCAAGAUGCUAAGGACAAAGGAUUGGCUAAAGCUUCAAGCUCAGGACUCUUCAUUUUACACUUUUAGUGAUCCAAGAUCACAUUGAGUCCAUAGGAAAAGCCAAUACUAUUAAGAAGGGAUGAGGUGUUGCUUAAUGAGCCUUUUGCUUCAUGUGCUUGAUGAUAUGCUCCAAAACCCUCAGCUACUUUCCCACUUCCACAUAUGACCUAAACUCCAAGCCAAACUCGGUCCUACUGAUUCUUUCCAUCCGACGCCACCGAGUUUCACAUGUCAUAAGCCACUGCCAAACCCUAGCAAAUCGGUUCUACCGAUAGGGAUCUCGGUCUCACCGAGAUGCGAUUGCAAUCUCACUGUGUAUGUCCAUUGUCAAAAUCGGUCUCACCAAGUUUAGGCAAUCGGUACUACCGAGAUUACAAUGCAAACUCUCUGGUUAACUCAUUACCAAAAUCGGUCCAACCGAGUUUAGUAAUCGGUUCCACCGAGUUUGCCUGACCAACUCUCUGGUUAACCAAUUACCAAAUCGGUCUCACCGAGUUUGUGUAAUCGGUCUCACUGAGAUUACGUUAUGCCCUAACCCUAACCAUAUCGGUCCUACCGAGUUGCUUGUCAGUCCCACCAAAAAUCUCUAACGGUCACUAGGUUUACCUUUUCAGUCCGACCGAGUUUAUUGAUUCGGUCCCACCGAGAUUGGUAAAUUGUGUGUAACGGUUGGAUUUUGUGUGGAGGCUAUAUAUACCCCUCCACCUCCUCUUCAUUCAUGGAGAGAGCCAUCAGAACACAUCUACACUUCCAACUCAUAUGUUCUGAGAGAGAACCACCUACUCAUGUGUUGAGACCAAGAUAUUCCAUUCCUACCAUAUGAAUCUUGAUCUCUAGCCUUCCCCAAGUUGCUUUCCACUCAAAUCUUCUUUCUACCAAAUCCAAAUCCUAUGAGAUAGAGUUGAGUGUUGGGGAGACUAUCAUUUGAAGCACAAGAGCAAGGAGUUCAUCAUCAACACACCAUUUGUUACUUCUUGGAGAGUGGUGUCUCCUAGAUUGGCUAGGUGUCACUUGGGAGCCUCCGACAAGAUUGUGGAGUUGAACCAAGGAGUUUGUAAGUGUAAGGAGAUCGCCUACUUCGUGAAGAUCUACCGCUAGUGAGGCAAGUCCUUCGUGGGCGAUGGCCAUGGUGGGAUAGACAAGGUUGCUUCUUCGUGGACCCUUCGUGGGUGGAGCCCUCCGUGGACUCGCGCAACCGUUACCCUUCGUGGGUUGAAGUCUCCAUCAACGUGGAUGUAGGAUAGCACCACCUAUCCGAACCACGGGAAAAACAUCCGUGUCUCCAAUUGAGUUUGAAUUCUCCAAACCCUUCCCUUUACAUUCUUGCAAGUUGCAUGCUUUACAUUCCGCUGCUCAUAUACUCUUUGCAUGCUUGCUUGAUAUGUAUUGUGUAUGUUGAAAUUGUGCCUAAAACUCCACUCAAACCGAAAAAGUUUAAAAACUGCAACUUUAGCACUAAUUGUCUAAUCAUGCCCCCUCUAGACACACCUACUUCUAGAUCCUACAGGCUAGAAAAACUUUGCUAGCUCAUUAGAGCCAGAUCGGCUCGCUUCCGACGGCAAACUUCGCGCAUGGAAAAAUCGGCGACCCACUCAUGACAACGAUUUUCACGGGGCAAGGCUGGUAAGGAAAACAACUAAACCGUUUGGCCAGGCAAGGUUGGCAAAAGCGAAAGCUGGCUAGCUGGGCUAGCCGAGCAAUUUCCUUAGAGCAUCUCAAUGUAUGGAGGUAGUGCAGCCUCUAAGCUGGGCCCCAUGUUAGUGCCUCUAAGAAUGAAUGAAAGUUCCGCAGUGUAUAAAGAUUUUAACAUGCAUCCAAGGUGGAGCCCACCAUAAGCCUACAACAAAUAAAAAAUCCAAGUUACAACUUCUCAUCCAUGUGCAUGCAGGUCUCUUUCCUCCUCUCUUCUUUUAUUCCAUUUGUUUAUUCACUUGGAGGCUGCCUCUAGUGUUGGAGGCGACACUAAGCAUAGAGGCGGACAAACUAAAUCGUGCAGUGUAUAGAGGCAGACUAGAAAUCCUUAGAGGCGCAAAAACAUCACAUUGUGGAUGCCCUUACUAAGGCUAGCCAUAGUGGGAGUAACUUAGGUAGUAGCAUAGCACAUCCCAAGAAAAAAUUGCAUAUGUGGCAUGGAGUUAAUGAGGAAAGAGAUGCUUGUGGUAAAAUAAUAUGUUACUAUAACAUAACACACCCUGAGGUAAAAUGAGUCUAUAUCUCAAUUAAUGAAGACUUGCAUGUUACCAUCCAUAUAUUACUACCCACUAUGAAGGUAUAGUAACAUAGACUAGUAACAUAUGCAUGUUAGUAGUCCAAGUUACUCACCACUAUGACUAGCCUAAGCAAUGUAACCAAAUGCUCCUUACUUUGCCUUGUUAUCUCCCCUGGAAACCCAAUGUAUGGAGCGCAACUAUGCGUUGAUCAGUCAAGAAAUCAAAGUCGGCUUGCAUGCGAGUUAAUACGUGGCCCUGCAUGGUAGCUAAAACAACAUCUCUUAGUUGUUGUGAUUAAUUGUUGCGUUUGGAGACAGAAAUCAGGUCUUUGAUUGGAGGAAGGACCGGUCAAGUUUCUCCUUCUCCUCCAAUCUGCUUGCACCUUGGUCCUGCUGCACCUUCUAACGUGACUUAUUACACCUAUAUGGAGGGAGUAGUACGAGAUAUGGUGGCACACUGACUUAGGUCGAAUACAAGUUCCCAAAAUUUAAUAAGGAUUCACUUAAACUAGUACGUGAGUGAACAGAUGGAUCAAUUGGACAGUGUUGACGAGAAGUAGCGAGAUGUGUGGGGUAAGAUACACCGCUGGCGCUUUUAAUUUUUAUUAUUAAUUUGUUUGUUUCACCCUCUGACUGGUGGGACCCAAUGUACUACGUGGAGAGAGGUAAGGUGACUAAGGCUGUAUUAUUUCUGUACUACCAAUAUUGCUUUAAAUCCCAAAAGACCUUACCACCAAAGCCACAUGACACGAUUAUGAUUUAAAUCCCAAUGACUCCCACACAAAAAAAACACG
This 83055-nucleotide long non-coding RNA is filed under the name Triticum aestivum (bread wheat). RNAcentral describes it as "long non-coding RNA (TAES_LNC006268)". The record is from RNAcentral. Lineage: Eukaryota; Viridiplantae; Streptophyta; Magnoliopsida; Poales; Poaceae.